RNAcentral lists this long non-coding RNA (56298 nucleotides) under Gossypium barbadense (sea-island cotton). Its description in RNAcentral is "long non-coding RNA (GBAR_LNC014012)". The record is from RNAcentral. Lineage: Eukaryota; Viridiplantae; Streptophyta; Magnoliopsida; Malvales; Malvaceae.
GUGAUGGUGGUGGUGGUGGUGGAGACUUGUACUUAUAAGGAUGCUUUGGUGGUGAUGGUGGUGGAGGUGGUGGGGACUUGUACUUGUAAGGGUGCUUGGGUGGUGAUGGUGGUGGAGGUGGUGGAGACUUGUACUUGUAAGGGUGCUUGGGUGGUGAUGGUGGUGGAGGUGGUGGAGACUUAUACUUGUAAACUGGAGAUGGUGGGGGUGGAGACUUGUACUUGUAAGGGUGCUUGGGUGGUGAUGGUGGUGGUGGUGGGGACUUGUACUUGUAAGGAUGCUUGGGUGGUGAUGGUGGUGGAGGUGGAGGAGACUUGUACUUGUAAGGAUGCUUGGGUGGUGAUGGUGGAGGAGGUGGUGGAGACUUAUAGUUGUAAACAGGAGUUGGUGGGGGAGGAGAUUUGUACUUGUAAGGCUUCUUGUGUGGUGGUGGUGGUGGAGAGUAGACCGGAGGAGGCGGUGGUGGAGACUUGUAAUGGUAAGGUGGUGGUGGGUACUUCUUAGGUGGUGGUGGAGGAGAAGAAUAAGUGUAAUCUGCUGAGGUUUCAAAAGGCAAAUUGAGAGACACUGCUAAAACUAAAAGAGUGAGAAAGAGAGAGGUCAUUGAUGACCCCAUUUUCCCCAUCCUUACUUCUAAAAAUGGGUUUAAUUUGGUUAUGCUCUUAGCAGCCCUCUUCACUCCCUUUAUAUAGACUUUGUUUUAAAGUUACAAUCAUGAUAAAAGUGUGAAGGUGGACCGAACCUUCAGCAGCAUUGAAAAAAGACGUUACGUUUAGGUUAUUAGCAUGGUAUGACAUAAUAAUUCUCUAUUCUCUUCCUUGUCGUUUCCCAUAAAUUUAAUUUAAAUAGUCCAUUUGCUAUAUUUAUAUUUCUGUUUCUCUAUUAAAUAUUUAUCAAAUUCAUUUCUCACUCCUUAUAGAAUAUGAAUAAUUAAUCAUUAAACUCGAUUUAGUAAAUACUUUAAAAAAUGAUUUAUCUUAUUUUUAUGCUUUAAUUAAGGCAUCAAAUCAUUAAUCCCAUUUGAUAUUAUGAAAAUUUAUCACUUAAUUGAUCAAAAUGUGAUUCUUGGCAGGAAAACAUAAUUUACUUUCCUUAAAAUGUAAUUUUUAUUGAGAGUUAUUUUUCCACUAACAAUAGAAAGUGAUUCUCUUUAUAAUUCGUGAAAAAAUUACUUUCACAUGUAAAUAAAAAUUGUUAGGAUAAAAUUAACUUUUCUUUUAUUUAUGUUAAGGUUACUAAUUAACUUAUUCAACUUUAAUAAAAGAUAAACAUAGUUGUAGCUUGUUUGUUGAUGUUAGUUUUUUGUCUUUACAACUUCAAACCAUUAUUCUAGUGUAAUUUUUUUUUCUUUCUAAAUAGUAGAUAAGUAUCUAUAUUUUAUUUUGCUAUAAGAAAAUUAUAUUUUUUAGCAUACAAAACUUAAGAUAACUUGUAGAAUCAAGUAGUUGUAUACCUAUUACUCUAGCAAUAAUAAUAUUGACAUUGUCUACUUUCAAAUUAAAAUUUCAAAUUAGUUCAUUGCCCAAUUUUCUCAUUAAAAAAAAUUAUAUAUAACAUGUCAACUUAACGAAACUUACAUGAAAUUUUGUAUGUGUUAAAAAUGAAAAAUAUGGCGGUUAUUAAAAAAGAUGUCAUACAUCUAAAUCAAACUACUAAUUUAAAAAUUAGUAUUGAGAUAAUUUCAAGCCAUAUAUGCAAUAUUUGAGUAUACUUGAACUUAUACAUACAAAUUAGUGAGGAUUAAAAUUUUGUAAAUUGUACAUCUUCACAAUCUUGCGUUAAUAUACAAUUUUUUUAAUGUAUUAAUAUAAUGUUUUAGAUCAAGACGUGAAAAAACAUAAUUCAAAUAUUUGUUAAUAGUAAAAAAUUAUUAAUAAAUAUUUAAUUCAAAAUUUAUUAAUAAUAAAAAUUAUUGAAAAAUAUUAAAUACGUUAAUAUUAUUUUUAUUUAAUAAUGAUACUUUUGUACAGUAAUCUUAUAUUCCCAAAUAAGUGUUAAAUGUGUCAAGAUUUUAAUCAAUACUUUCCGGUGAUUACCAAACGUUGUGAAGUAACUUCUUAAACAAUAAUAUUCUUAUCAAUCACAUUCCAUUAAAAUUUUAACAUAGAAAAGCACCAAAACGCCCCCUUAAAAUCGUGGUAAGUCUUGUUUGUCUAAAAUUUAAAUAUUUAUUUUAUUAUUUAAAAUAUAUUAAUUUUCUAAAAAAAAUCAUUAAUAUUUAUAUUUCUAAUUUUAAACAUUCUUUUGUUAAUUAAAUGAUAGUCUAAACGGUUAAACUCAAAUCGAAAGCAUUUUAUCUUAUAUUAGAUUAUAUGAAUCAUAUUAUGGUUGAAAGUAAAAUGUAUAAAAUCAAUACAAACAUCAAAUAUUAAACUUCCACUCAAUAGAUUUUAAAAUUUCUAAUUUUAUCACUAAUCUAUUUUAAGAUUUUUUUAAAAAAAAUCGUACUUUAGAUUAUCUAAUUUAAAAUUUUAUAAAAUUAUUAAAAAAUAUUCUUGUAAUAAAAAAAAUUUGUUUUAAAAUUUUUAAUUUUUUAUAUAACCAAUGAAUUUUUUACGUUUGUUUUAACUGGUUAUCUAAACAAAAUAAAAACUUAUUUAGUUUAAAUAAAGUGGUAAAUGUGAAAGCACCACAAAUCACAACUACAUUAGUUUUAUAAUUGGAUUAAUUUAAUCACCGGCAGAGGAAAUGUGUUAGUUCUAGCUACCAACAAUUCAUUUUAAUUCCUUUAAAAAUAUUAGAAAAAACCAAUUUGAUUUUUAAUAAUAGAUCUAAUUACUUAAAGGAACAUGGGUGAUGUGCACAUGGCAUACAAGCAUAAAAAAGAACAAAAAGAUUAAGUAUCUUUGCAAAAUAUCUCUCUCUGAAAUAAAUAAAACUUAAAAAAAAACAAUUUUAUUAUCAAAAUAAAAAGAAAAUAGUGUUUUUCUUCACAAAAAAAGAAAAGAAAAGAAAUACUAGUGUUUUUAAUUAAAAUAGAGUGAUCUGGGUAGAAUCUUUUACUUAAAUACUGACAUUGACUUUAUAAGCUAUUUUUUAUCAAAAGAAGAAAGAGAAAAGCAUCCGAUUGAAGAUGUGAAUUAUUAAGUUAAAAUUAAUCAUACAUGUAAAAUAUUAUUGUGCUUUUUUCUAGCCCUCCGAAAGACAUUAUGCUUUGAUUACAACAUUCUUCCUCAGAGAUGAGGUUUGAAGAUGAACUCGGAUGCAUUUAGAUUUUUACAAGACGAAAGUAAAUUAAAGGAUGUUAGUACUUGUAUUCCGAUACGCUUAUAAUACAGAAAGCAAGUAAUAUGUGACUGUACAUAAUGGCUAUGAGGCGAGGAUAUGAUACGAGAAGAUAGAGAUGAGAGAUUGCACUUAAGGGGUUAGCACCUCUUUUCUUUUUGUGUUUGGUCCCCAAAGCAUAUCUCUUAUUGGCUGAUGUUGCAAGGCGGUCCCAUAAGUUGGGCUAAAAGUGCUUGAUAGCUAGAAUUAAUAUUGUGGUAUAACAUAUGUCACCCCUAUAUUUGAAUAAGGUUACAAAGUGACUACUUGAAGAUUUAAAAAAGCAUGGAGAUAAUUUUGUUGCGAAAAUUAAAAGUAAGAGCUAAAUUGUUUGGCUUUAUUAGAGUAUAGACUCUGUUAGUCUAUUAUCAUUUUGUUAUAUAGGCUGGAAUAUUAUUAGUAAGCAGUUAGCAGCAGUUAGUCAUACAAGUAUAAAUUCUAUUCAUGUAUUGUUCAAAGAUAAGCUAAUAAUACCAGAAGAGAUUUAACAUGUUCAUUCUACUUUUUUUUGUUAUUCUUCAUAAUACAGUUGUUAACAUGGUCUCAGUCGCCAAAUUUCUUGGAGGUUGCUUCUAUUGUAGAUCCAUGGCCAAUUCCACUGAUUCUACCUUCGCUGGUCGUAGCAGUCCCUCAUUCUCAGUUCAUGUUUGGUUCAAUCGUUUCCUCGUCAUGGCACUGUGAAGUUAGAUGAAGGAAAUUUUGUACAAUGGCAACAGCAUAUCCAAUUGAUAAUUGAAGGAUAUGAACUCAUAAGAUUUUUAGAAGGGACGUUACCUGCUCCGCCUCGCUUUGUGUCAUCUCCGGAUGGAAACUUAGCUCUGACUCCCGAUGCAUCCCUGUUUGUUCAGCAAGAUAAGUUACUCGCUUAUUGGUUACUUUUUACGAUUAGUGCUCCUUUGUUUUCUUGUUUUACAACUGCUAAGACGGCGUGUGAGGUUUGGAGCACUGCGAAUUGCCUAUUUGCUGCUGCCACUAGAGCCAAGCUUUCGCGUAUUAAGCAUGAACUCCAGUCCAUCACGAAAGGCGUGAUGACUAUCAAAGAGUAUAUUGCUAAGAUUCAAAAUACUUGUGCGUUACUCGAGGAAUCUAGAUCAGUGGUUUUAAAGGCUGAAAAGGUAGAGAUCAUUCUUGCCGGCCUAUUGUCUGAUUAUGAUGUCGUUUUAACUCUGGCAUCGUUCUCAACUGAAACUUUUUCGUUAUAAAAGAUUGUUGAUAUGCUUCUGGAGUUCGAAAGCCAUCAGACUCAAGCGGUGAACGACGUACCUUUUCAUGCUCAUUUGGUAGAGGCCACUUCGGCGACAUCCGUGGAGGACUCCGUACGUGGUGGUCGUCCUCCUUCUGGUGCUCGUAGGCGCGACUUUCGAUCUCAGCUUCAGUGCCAGGACUAUGGUUGCUAUGGACAUUUGGUACAAUGCUGUUAUUAUCAGUUCAACCGCGACUACAGUGAUCUGUCUGUUUUGACCAUGGCGCGGGUUUCGCCUGUUCAUGCUGAUCACAAUUAGCAUAACGAUGUUUUUGGCGCAAGUGGUCUCUCGACUAGCUGGUUUUCAUCAACUUGUCCUGGUCCGGACCCGUUCGUGCCUGGACAGUAUGUCGAUUCUUUGGUGGUGACACCGGCGUAUUUCUCUUAUGGCUCAUCAUGGUGAGGGUGGCCACAUUUGCAAAACAAUGCCUCCCUUGUGCCAAGUUUGUUGAAUGUUAAGGUUUCUAACCCUUUUGCUCAUAAUUUUGACGAUGGGGCAGGCUAGGUGUUUGGGCUCGCUGUUGGACCAAGCUCAAAUUGUGGCCAAUUUGGUGGUCCUCACUUACCGCGGAGAAUGGGCCAGCACGUUAGGCCAUUUGCUAGUGUUCCUAGGCCGACUGGUUCAGGCCAAGAUUUUGGGCCAUAUGGAAUUCGUAGGCUAACCAGUGCUGGUCCUAACAUUGGACAGGGUUCACUUGGGCCAAAUGUUAAUUUUGUUAGACUUGAGGGCUCUUUUGGGCAUGGACAAGGACUUUGGCCCACCACUGGCAAUGUUUCAGUGCCAAAUAAUGGGUCAUGCGUUCCAUGGCGCACUAAACUGACGGCGCACAUUAUUGAUUGAUUUCUCACUGUGUGUUGGGUUGCCUCACAUUCUUGAUUUUCAUGUGUCUGAUAUUUUUACUACCUCUGGGUCCAAUGCUAACACGACUCCGUAUGGGUCUAAUUUUGAUAAUGAUAACUCUUACAUUCCUAUGCCUGUAGGGACCUUGUCCUGGUGUCUUAAUUCAGGGUCUAUACAUCAUGUCUAUCGAGAAGCCUCUACCUUGAACGAGUCUACGCCAUACUCAGGUACAUCUCCUCUCCUCAUGGAUGAUAUUACUCCUACAAAAAUAUCAUGUGUUGGAAACUCUAUCUUGCCUACGAAGACUAAGCUGUUUCAUCUAUCUAAUGUUUUGUGUGUGCCAAAUAUACGGAAGAAUCUGCUAUCUGUCUCUCAAUUUGCUAAUGACAAUAAUAUGGUCUUUGAAUUUCACCCGUCUUAUUGAGGACAUCCAGACUCAGGAAAUUUUGCUUCGGGGCCACACUCGUGAUGGGCUCUAUUAUUUUUCGUAGGUUACUCAUGUUCCGUCUGUCGUUGUUCCUUCUGUUCACAACACUGGGCUCCAGAGUCGCAAUGCCGGUGAUGAUGUUUUUACGUUAUGGCACUACAGACUUGGUCAUCCGUCUGCCUCGAUUGUUAAACUUGUUCUCGAUAAGUGUCAAGUUGUUUCAACUAAAAUGUACCUUGAAAAUAUUUGUAUUGCUUGUCAAAAGGGGAAGUCCCAUAAACUGUCUUUUUCAAGUUCUACUACUAAAUAUACGGAUUUGUUUGAAUUGGUUGUCUUUGACUUAUGUGGACUGGCAUCUGUUGUCUGUAGAAAUAAUCUGUAUCAUGUUUCGUUUAUCGACAUGUGUAGUUAUUUUACUUGGAUUUAUCUCAUUAAACGUAAUUCUAAGGAGGUUGAAUGUUUUCUUCAGUUUCAGAAAAUGGUCAAAACUCAGUUUGGGAAAGAUAUUAAAAAAAUUCAAAGUGAUUGGGGUGGUGAGUUUCUUGCCUUUACGUCAGUUCUGGCUAGUCAUGGGAUACUUCAUCACCUCUCCUGUCCAUAUACAUCCGAGUAGAACGAUGUAGCUGAACGAAAACAUCGACACAUUGUUGAGAUGAGUCUUAUUCUAUUGGCCAAAGCUAACCUAUCCAUGGAUUUCUGUGGUUUCGUAUUUUACAAUGCCAUUCAUCUCAUUAGUCUUCUACCGACCCUAGUUCUGAAAGGUCAGUCUCCAUAUCAGGUUCUUCAUGGUAGUGACCCUACAUAUGAUCAUUUACAAGUAUUUAAGUGUUGUUGAUUUUCGUACCUGCGUCUGUUUCUGCAACACAAGUUGGAUUUUCAUUCUCAGCCAUGCAUAUUUUUUAGGUAUAGUUCUCAACAUAAAGGCUAUCACUGCCUCACACCAAAUGGUAAGGUCAUUGUCUCUCGUCAUGUUGUGUUUGAUGAACGUUGGUUUUUCUUUUCUUCAAAUGCUGUGAACACCGUUCAGUUAAGUCCAUGUAUCUCUACAUAUGUUCCUAUUGUUCGGUCUUCAUCUUGCCGCCCCACGACAUCUUCGCUUGUUCGACCCACUGAGUCAUCGACUCUUGCUCCUAAUUGUAGUUCCACGCUGUCUGUUUCAGUUGACACUCCGGCUGAAUUAGGUUUUACUCAUGAGGUGCAUCGGCUCUCUACCUCAUCCCUUGAAUCUCGUCAAUGCGAUCCAACUACAAUUCCAUUGGCUGUUCCAUCUAUUUCUCUGGAAUACUCAUAACACUAUUACUCAGCUAGACCCAAAGCUCUGUCUGUUGAAAUUGUCAACUGUGAGUCGAUCACGAUUGAAGAGGCGCUCGCUAGUAAGGAAUGGCAAUUAGUUGUCCAAGCUGAGUUUGUUGCUAUAAUGGUUAACUCCACUUGGGAGCUUGUUCCCUUACCUCAUGGUCGAAAAGUGAUUAGGUGUAAGUGGCUUUUUAAAAUAAAAAAAUCCUGAUGGGACUAUCACUUGACGUAAGGCUCGGUUGGAAGCAAAGGGUUGUUCUCAGGUACUCAGGUGUGAUUUCAAGGAAACCUUUAGUUUGGUAGUUAAACCUGCUACUAUUAGAACCAUAUUAUCUGUUGCUAUCUCCAACGGUUGGCAAUUUGGUCAGGUAGAUGUGAACAAUGCUUUUUUAAAUGGUGAUCUUAUUGACGAAGUGUUCAUGCAGCAACCUCUAGGCUAUGUUCAGAUUGGUCAAAAUGGUGAGCCCUUGGUGUAUCAUUUGACAAAGGUGUUGUACAGAUUAAGACAAGCUCCACGUGCUUGGUUUGAUAAAUUGAAACGUUUUUUUGUUUCUAUUGGAUUUGCUUUAUCCAAAUCUGAUGUAUCCUUAUUUGUUCAAGUUAAUUCGAAUCCACUAUUUAUGUUUUAGUCUAUAUGGAUGAUAUUAUCGUUACUAGAAGUACGAUCGACGGUAUAAAUGGCUGUAUUCAAUAGUUACAUAAUGUGUUUCCCUUAAAGAUAUGGGAGAUCUUUACUACUUCUUAGGCAUUGAAGUCACUCGGUAGUCCACUGGGAGUCUCCAUUUGUGCCAACGCAAAUACAUUCGGGAUCUUCUUGACAGUAGUUUUUUAGCUAAUGCAAAGAGUGUUCACACACCGAUGGUUAGUUCUUUUACGUUGUUUAAAGAUGUGGGAGAUCGCCUCGUUGAUCCUACUGGAUAUAGAAGUCUUGUCGGUGUAUUACAAUAUGUGGUCUUGACUCUGCCUGAUAUUGCUUAUGCUAUAAAUCAUGUUUGUCAAUUCAUGCAUGCCCCUACUACAGUACAUUUGGUGGCUUUGAAAAGAAUCUUGCACUAUUUAUGUGACACUAUUAAUCAUGGGUUAAUUUUGUCUGUUCAACAUAUUGUCUUUAGUUGGCUAUGCUAAUGCCAACUGGGGACUGGAUUUUGAUGAUCGUAAAUCAACAACAAGCUAUUGUUUGUAUUUUGGGUAUACACCCAUCUCUUGGUGAUCUAAGAGACAACUCUACUGCGUGAGGCGAAGUAUUUUGGCCGCACCAUGGCUGAGGUGAAGUAUCGAAGUCUAGCAACAACUACCAGUGAUGUUACUUGGUUAGUCUCUCUACUAACAAAAUUACAGAUUCAUUCUAUAGAUCCACAUACUAUUUGGCGUGACAACUCUAAUGCAGUAGCGGUCAUUGCUAAUCCGGUCUGACACUCUAAAUUUAAACAUGCCAAGCUUGAUCUAUUUUUUGUUCGCGAAAAGGUCGCUAAUGGUUCUCUCGUUGUCGGUGAGAUUCUAGCAUGUGAUUAAGUUGCUGACAUUCUCACAAAACCACUGUUCGUCUCUACUUUUGCUAGGUUUCGUAGUCUGCUUCAAUUCUUACCUCUUGAGAAGCUGGGUGAAGCCAGGUGAAUAUUAGAGUAUAGACUCUGUUAGUCUGUUACCAUUUUGUUAUUCAGGCUGGAAUAUUGUUAGUAAGCAGUUAGUCAUAGCAGUUAGUCAUACAAUUAUAAAUUCUAUUCAUGUAUUGUUCAAAGGUAAGCUAAUAAUACCAAAAGAGAUUUAAUGUGCUCAUUCUACUUUCUUUGUUAUUCUUCAUAAUACAGUUGUUAACAUGCUUGAUAUCAUCUCUUAGAGAGAACGAGGAGAGAUAAGAGUAAGAGUAUGAGCCAACUAGGGAUAAGGCUCUACCAUAAUACCUUGGAUGCAAUUAAAGUAAGAGUAAGAGCCAACUUGUUUGGCUUGAUAGCAUCCCCUUAUAGAAAAGGCUCUACCGCAUGGCAUGAGAGCAAUAAAAGUAACACUCAAUUUCUUGGGUUGAUAGCAUCUCCUUAGGGAAAAGGGUUUACCAUGUGACAUGAAAGCAAUUAAAGUAAGAGUAAGAUCCAACUUGUUUGUCUUAAUAGCAUCAUUUAAGAGAAAUAUCCCAAUCAAUUUAUUCAAAUAUGUUAAUCAAAUAAUGCAAGUUACAAUGUUCUGUCAGUUUUUCCUUUAAUUGUAACUGGGUUAAAGUUGGUAGUUGUAACUGCUACUAAUAGAAUGGAUACGGUAGAAAUGGUUGCAAGCAACAUAAGCAAAGAUGACUUUAAUGUCUUUGUAUUGACCACGUGAGAACUAUAGAAUGCAGAGAAUAGUAUGGUGAUUGGCAACAGAAUGCUACUAACCUUGAGGAUAGUAGACAGGGAUGGAUCCACGGGGGUUGGGGGCGGUCCCCCCUUGGAAUUUUUAAAAUUUUAAAUUUUAUAUAUAAAUUAUCAUGUAUUUUAAAUUUGGUGUCCACAUUGUAUAGCAUUCACCCCCCUUUUCCAAAUUGCAUUUCAUAUCAUUUGCCCUCUUAAGCCAUAAGGUUAUACUUUAUAUUAACAAAGUAUUUUCCAUUUUUUAAUUAUAUAAAUUUAAUAAUAAUAAUAAUAAUCAAAUAUUAAUAUAUGAUUGGCAUUGAAAGACUAAACAUAAAGGUCCAGUUGAGACUUUAAAGCCAAAUUCCAUAAUUAAUUAAUUGAUUUGGCCCAUACCAGUACAUAUUAGGUUAGCGAAAUUCUUGUAUUUUGAUUUGUAUGUCUUGCUAAGGAAUUAUCUUCCUUUGGUAAGGUGUUGACACUGCCAAGAGAAAAAGAAAGGAUUUUGAUGUCGAGAUUGUGAGCAUAGAGUAAAAAAAAUACAAAUUAUCUUCCUCUUAGCUCCUUAUGGAAAAAACCUCUCGGUAAAUAUUUUUGCAUAAAUUAUGUUUUUUAUUAAUUUGACUUAGUUUUUUUCUUUUUUCCUAAUACAUUGUUGUUUAAUAUAUUCUUACAAUCAUCAGGUUUUUUGACUAAAUUAUGGUCAAUAAAAACAUCGAAUCUAUUUAAAAAAAAAGAGUGUCAGAAAGCAAUAAUGAUCAACCGGUUCCUCAACCUUCCAUUAUUAGUGAAGAAAAAUCAAAUAUCGGAUCUUCCAAAGCUCUUGAACAAAAUAUCAGGUCUUCUUAAGCCCAAGCUCCUAAAUGCGGUAUGGAGUCUUCCCCAACUCCUGAACGAGAUUGUAACAAUCCAUACCCAAUUCGAUCACCAAAUCCAAGUAGAGAGCGCCGCAACUUAAACCAUAUGAAUUGAAUAAUAAAUAUUUGAAAUUUAUUAAAGUAUCGAGUUCUUGGUGUAACCCUCAGUAUAACAAUACGAAACAAUUAAAUCAAUGAUACGCCAGGAAAAAAUGUUUUUAGGCAAAACACAUGGCGGAAGCCUUACAAAAUUUUAUAAGUUUAUAUAAAAUGUAAGAUGAGUUAAUCCCAUACAACAGUUUCAAGUGCAUCGUUGGCGGUUAAAAGAACAUUCAAAAACUAUUCGGCGUAUAUGCCAAUGAGACAAUCACGUGGAACAAGAUAUAGUAGCUUAAACACAUACAUCACUUACCACGUCAUCAUAACAUAUACUAACCAUAUAAACAAACUUAUCGAGCUGCGAACUAACAAGUUCACCCAAACAUCUAGGGUUAGCGAUAACUUAUUAGAAGAGCCCGCCAAACCCUAGAGUUCGCCAAAACCUGGAGUUCACCAAAUGGCGACUCCCAUAGAAUACGCCAAACACACAACCAAAAAUAAAUACUCUACUAAUUUACUCAUUUUAUAUUCUUAGCAUAAACAACUAUGCACCAAACAGUAACUUGAUACAUUAUCUUUCGGGCGAGUUGUUACAAUUCUCCCCCAUUUAGAAACUUUUGUCCUUGAAAUUCUUACCGGUGAAUAACUGAGGAUAUUGUUCUUUCAUCGAACUCUCUCUUUCCCAAAUGGCUUCUUUUGUAUUGUGAUUUAUCUAUAAUACAUUAACCAAAGGAAUUCUUUUACUUCUCAACUCUUUUACUUCCCUUGCUAAAAUACAAACAGGUUCUUCUUCAUAGGACAAGUUUUGCUCCACUUCCAGUGCUUUGACUUGUACCACAUAAUCUGGAUUGGAUUGAUAUUUUCUUAACAUAGAUAUAUUAAACACAUUAUGUAUAUUUGAUAACUCUGGUGGCAACACCAGUUUGUAUGCCACUGGACCAACUUAUUCCAAAAUCUCAUAUGGUUCUAUGAAAUGCAGACUUAAUUUCCCUUUUUGUUCAAACCUUAUGAUCUUCUUCCAAAGAGAAAACUUCAUAAAUGCAUUGUCACCCACUUCGAAAGAGAUUAUUUUCCUUUUUAGAUCAGCAUAAGCUUUCUGGCGAUCUUAAGUUACUUUCAGAUGAUUUCUAAUGAUAAAGACUUUCUCUUCUGUUUCUCAUACUAAAUCAAGACCAACUAUUUUCCUUUUACUGAGUCUCAUCCAAUAGGUAGGAGAUCUGCACCUUCGUCUAUACAAAGCUCCAAAUGGUAACAUUCCCAGACUGUCAUAAUAACUAUUAUUAUACGCAAACUCUAGCAAAGGAAGAUAUCUUUCUCAAUUCAUUCUAAAAUCUAUAAUACAACCUCUAAACAUGUCUUCUAGAACUUGAAAUACUCUUUCAAAUUGCUCAUCGAAUUAGGGAUGAAAGGUAGUACAGAAUCAUUAUUUCGUUCCCAACGAUUCUUGCAGUUGUCUCCAAAAUCUCAAUGUAAACAUUGGGUCUCGAUCUGAAACUAUGGAUGUUGGAAUCCCAUGAGGCGUACAACUUCAGAAACGUAGAGAUUAGCCAACUUUUCCAAUAAGUAAUUUGUGCGGACAAACAAGAUAUGGGCUAACUUAGUAAGUCGAUCUACAAUUACCUAGACUGAGUACUUCUUCGAAAGGAUGAGAGGGAGAGCCAAAACAAAAUCCAUGGUGAUCUUAUCCCACUUCCACAUAGAUAUCUCUAAAAGGUACAACUUGCCUAAGGGAACCUGAUGUUCUAUUUUAAUCUGCUGACAUGUCAAACAAAUGGAAAUGUACUUUGUUAUUUCUUUCUUCAUUUCAAGUCAGUAAUACAAACUUAUCAAAUUAUGAUACAUUUUAUGUAAAACUCUCAACCCAACUCGAAAUGUCGAGUCUGGAUCUCGGGUAUUACUAUACAUAAUACUUGGCAAAAUAUCAAAAUAGUUGACAAAUACUCUUUAUAGAAAACAUUUUCUUAUUAUUUUAACCAAAAGACUAAAUAUUUAAUAACAAGAGAAAAUAUUAAAAACAAAAAAAAAUUAUUACAUCAGACUUGGUACAACUCAUUAUAGUAUAAAAUUUUGUUAAAGACAUACUCUUGGGGCAUAACCCUAAUCUAAGCCACUUUUCCACUAUAUGCAUAAUAACCCACUUCGCCACUAUCUUGGCGUACUCCUAGCAUCGUCACUCCUAAUGCAUUCUCUACCCAUACACCUGAAAACAACAACAUUUUAAGCUUAAGAUAACUUAGUGACUUUUAUCCCAAAAAUACCUUGGCGAGUACUUUAUAUUAUUUGAAGAACAUUUGUGCGCCAUCUAUCCUUCUGAACCACCUUCUUCUGAAUUAAGUGGAUACUAUUAUAGAUUCAACUUUCACUUACACGCCAACUAUCAUACUCUUAACAAACUCACUUAUUCUAGAAUAGUUGUUCACAUAUAUUAAUCACUAAUUGAUACAUUCAUAUUUGGCGAAUACUUACGCAGAUCUGAAUACCAUCAAACUACUAAUCAAAUCAUACCUUGAUCCGAUACCAUACAAACUCAUACUGAUAAUGUACUACACAAAUUAUUCAAAUGAAUUUUCCACUACUUUGUUACAGGACCCCAGAUAAUCAUCAUAACAAUAACUCAAUUUUCAUAUGAUUUCAGAAGAAGAUAUAAUACAACCCAAAUACGGCAAAUUCCAGAUAACUCAGAUUCAACAACUGCUUAACACAUACGAACUCACAUUUAUAAUUUCUUAUGUCCCACAUAACUACGACUAUGUCUAUAUUCAACACUAACAAAUAAUCAUGACGGAUACCCUUCUUAUACAUAUAUGCAUUUCUUUUCUAGAAAUCUCUUAAGACUUACUCAAUUAUAUCACAUAUCUUAUUCAACCCUUAACUUUAGACAUAUCAUAACCCUAUCAUAUCAAUAUCUAUCACAAAAAAAAUCAGGAUUUAUCCAAAACUUACCAUAAAGGUAGAUAAUCAUAUUAUAUCAGACAAACUUAACUAAAUGUGCCACAAAGGCCAAACAAAAUAUGCCUUAAAGGCUUCAUACAAAAUCACGUGUUUACUAUCCCGACGGACUAUCACAAAAGGUGUCAUGGGUUUCUCCCACAUGGACUUAUACAUAAUUUCAUGUAUUGUGAUCUGCCAUUUUGAAUCAUACGUUAUCGAAGGAUACUCCAUAAGCAUACAUACAGACAUAUCUUGCCAUGUGUCUCAGCCACAUGGCUUAAACACACAUUCAUGUACUGUGAUAUGUCAAUCCAGUCUUACUCUUAUUAGAGCCUACACCAUGAGUGUUUUCAAAUCAUAUUAAGAUGUUGUAGGUCUCAACCUCAUAGUCUUACACUUGUUUUCAUAUCGUGACCUGCCAGUCUAGUUAGCAAUAUAAUUGCCUACCAGAGGCUUCAUAGAGGAACAUUUGCUUAGAUUCACUUACCUAGAUGAUCUGUAACACCCCUUACCCGAGACCGUUGUCAGAGUCGAGCACGAGGUAUUACUUAUCUUAUCUUACUAACUCGAAGCAUAAAAACUUGUUUUAAAAAUUAAUUUCACUAUUUAUAGCAAUUUGUCCAAUCGCGCAGCAGUUACUAAAUUAAUUAUAACUCGAGAUACGGAACUUGAAAUUUAACUCCGUAAAUUUUCCCUGAAACUAGACUCAUAUAUCUUCCUACCAUAAAAAUUUUAGGAUUUUUAGUUUAUCAAAUUAGUACAGUUUAUUAGUUAAAUUCUCCCCUGUUUCACAAAUCGACUGCCCUGACCUCUUAUCACUAAAAAUAAAAUGUAUCAUUGUGGGAUUUUCGUAUAGUGCUACCGCUUGCUUCUACAGAAAAUAGACUCAAUAAGGAAUCUAUACAUAUAAACUACAACUCAUAAAUAUUUUUUUAAAAUUUUUAAUGAUUUUAUAAACUCAAAACAGGGGUCACCAAAAACUGUUCUAACCCUGUCUCACCAAAAUUCACAUAUCUUAAAAUAUAAAUUCCUUUUGCUACACCGUUAUUUUUAUGUGAAAAUAGACUCAACAAGAUUUAUGUCAUUCAAUAUUUAAUUCAUUUUAUACUAUCCUAGGUGAUUUUUCAAAGUCACGUCACUGUUGCUGCCUGAAUUCUGUUUCUUUGCAAAAUUUUACCCUUUUAUGAUUUCCAUGCAUAGUUUAUCACUUAGACUCUUAUAACAACAAACACUUCCAUACUUAACCAUUUUAGCAACCAUUCAUCAUCAAAUACUUACACAUCAUUCUUUAGCAAGAUCAUAAAUACAAACAUUUAAAAUAACUAAAUCCCUUUACAUUCCAUACUCAACAUGGUUCAACAUAAAAAUACCGAGUUGCUGUGGUUGAUAGUGUGGACGAUCUCCGACUUCUUUAGGAUCCUUGAAGUAACCUUGCAAUACUAUAAGAGAAAGAGAAAUAAAAGACGUAAGCAUAAAGCUUAGUAAGUUUACUAGCAAAUAAAUAACAAUAUUUAACUAGAUAAUUAAACUCAAGUGUCUAUAUCUCUAGUUUACUAUUUAGUUAAUCUCAUUCUAGUUCUCUUGCUUGUUUACUUAGUAUACUUGUGUGCAUAACUUACUCCUCUCUUGCUGUAUAGUUGAAUAUCAAUUGAUAAUAUAAUAAGUUAUUAACUCUUAUAACUUACCUGAACUUGCCAUUUAUGUUUUUAACUGAACUUUCCUGAACAUGAUUCGUUAUUUAGCCCGUUGAGCUACAUUGGAACAAUAAGGAUACUCGGGUCUCUUCUGAUAAUAACAUGCCAAAGCCAUGUCCCAGACAUGGUCUUACAUGGGAUGUACUCAUGUCGGUGCCCAUUCCAUAUCCCAGACAUGGUCUUACGGGGGACCUCUCAUCUCGGUGCCAAUGCCAUGUCCCAGACAUGGUCUUACAUGGGACCUCUCAUCUCGGUGCCAACGCCAUGUCCCAGACAUGGUCUUACAUGGGACCUCUCAUCUCGGUGCCAACGCCAUGUCCCAGACAUGGUCUUACAUGGGACCUCUUUACCCAAAUGUCAUGACAUUCGUAUCCAGUACCAUCCUUACUAUUCAUGACAACCGAUAUAUAUAUAUACAUACUCACUAUUCACAAGGACUCGAACGAUUAUAUACUCAUCAACCACCUUAAAACAAUGUUCAUAAACUUAUCCAUUUCAUAUAAACAAAAGCAUAUAUAUUUAUAACCAAUGCAUAGAAUCACUUAAUUUAAACAGAUUCACUGGCACUUCACCUGAUAGGCUUAUAGUUUAAUUCAGUUCACCGGCACUUAGCCUACUAGGCUUGUAGCCUGAUUCAGUUCACCGGCACUUAGCCUGCUAGACGUAUAGUCCGAUUCAAUUCACCGGCAUUUAGCCUGCUAGACGUAUAGUCUGAUUCAAUUUACCGGCACUUAGCCUGCUAGACGUAUAGUCUGAAUAAUUUUACUGGUAAUAAAUCCGAUAGUAAUUUCUCCGUUGAAAUUGAAUUAUAUUCAAUUCUGCGUAACAAACAUGCACUUAAAACAUACUUGCAUAAUUCACAACAAUAAUUUCAGUCCAAAGAGCUGUAAUUCAUAUUCGAACUAUAUAUAUAUAAAUCCAUACAUAAAAAUUCAACUCAAAAUUUAUAACCUAUAUCUUUGAACCACAUAGGUACAUGAAAUUCAAACACCAAAAUCCAGCUCAAUAACUUCAUGAUUCAACCUAACAAAUUUAUGUAUAUAACUUUUUAUCUAAUUUCAAUACAAUAACUUAUACAUGUACGUAUAUACAUAUUCGAAUCUAACAUAUACAUAUAUAAUUUCAUACUUAAAUAUAUUCAAGACUUAUUCAUGAGUAUACAUAUAUAUUACAACUCACAUGUACAUAUAUAUACACAUUCAUACCUUUAACCAAGUCCAAGGCUUUAUACAUGUAUAUGCUUAUAUAUAUAUAUUCGGACCUUAUGUUUACAUAUAUAUAUUAUAUAAAUACCUUUGAUUAAAAACAAGUAUUUAUACAUAUAUAUAUUUUCGAACAUGAUACAUAUAUAUUUAUAUCAUUCAUACUUAAACAAAAUUCAAUCCAUAUACUUUCAAUUUCAGCUCACCAAAUUACUAUAGAUAUACAUGCAUAUAUACUGAUUUAAUAACCUCAAAUUGCUAAUAGACUUACCUCGGAUAUCAGCGGACACGAUCGAGUAUUCGAUUACUUUCGUUUUUCCCCGAUCCAAAUUCGUUUUCUUCGUUUUUUAUCUUAAUUAGACCUAGAGAUAGCCGAACCUUGUUGUUCUCUUUUCUUUUCUUUUCUUUUUCUUUUCUAUAUUCGGCCAAGAUGAAGAACAUGGCAUUUAAAAUUUGUUAUAUUAAACAUAUAUUAGCCUUAUUUUUAAUUUACUAUAUUAACCUUUACAUAUAUAUAACAUAUAUAAUAAGGUUACAUUAGUCCUUUGCCACCCACUAACUUACAUAGUGGACUAAUUGCAUAGUAAAACCUCUAAAUUAUAAAGACAACAAGAAUUAGGUCCUUUUAUAAUUAACCCCUAAAUUUUCAUUUUACGCGAUUAAGCCCUUUUAUUAAAUCGGACACUUAAACGACGAAAUUAAAACACGAAAAUUUCACACAAUCAAAUGCAUACAAAACAAUAUUAAUAAUAUUUUUCUAAUUCAAAUUUGUGGUCCCGAAACCAGUAUUCUGAUUAGGGUCAAAAACCGGGUUGUUACAACUCUCCCCCCUUAGGGAUUUUCGUCCCCGAAAAUCUUACCGGUGAAUAGGUUUGGAUAACGCUCUUUCAUUGUAUCUUCUAACUCCCAAGUUGCUUCUUCAACCCCAUGUUUAUGCCACAACACUUUAACUAACGGAAUUUUCUUAUUUCGUAAUUCUUUGAUCUCACGAGCCAGAAUGCUAAUCGGUUCUUCCUCAUAUGUCAUAUCAGAGUUAAUUUCAAUCUCCGUCGGACUAAUCACAUGUGAAGGAUCAGAUCGGUAUCUACGAAGCAUCGAAACAUGGAAUACGUUAUGAAUCUUUUCUAACUCAGGCAGUAACAUCAAUCUAUAAGCAACCAAUCCAACUCGCUCUAUAAUCUCAUACGGUCCAAUGAAUCUCGGACACAAUUUGCCUUUACGACCAAAUCUGAGUAUUUUCUUCCACGGUGAGACUUUUAAAAACACUUUAUCCCCGAUCUGAAAUUCUAUAUCCUUUCUUUUCAAAUUCGCAUAAGAUUUCUGACGAUCCGAUGCUGAUUUCAGACUGUCCCGAAUCACUUUCACUUUCUGUUCGGUCUCUUUAAUCAAAUCAACCCCGUGUAUCUUAUUUUCACUGAGCUCGGUCCAAUACAGUGGUGUACGACAUUUACAACCGUACAAAGCCUCAUAAGGUGCCAUUUUGAUACUAGAUUGAAAGCUAUUAUUAUAAGCAAAUUCAAUCAAAGGUAAGUAUCGUUCCCACGUACCUUCAAACUCGAGAAUGCAACAUCUCAACAUAUCCUCAAGUAUCUGAAUGAUUCAUUCAGAUUGACCAUCUGUCUGCGGAUCGAAAGCUGUGCUAAAAUGUAGUUUCGUACCUAAAGCAUCUUGUAGUUUCUUCCAAAAUCGCGAUGUGAAUCUCAGAUCUCUGUCUGAAACAAUAGAAAUAGGUACACCAUGCAACCUCACAAUUUGUGAAAUAUACAAUUCCGCAAGUUUAUCGAGCGAAAAAUCUGUACGAAUCGAAAUAAAAUGUGUCGAUUUUGUCAACCUAUCAACAAUAACCCAGAUUGCAUCUAUCUUGCUCGGUGUCAACGGUAAAUCGGAUACAAAAUCCAUCGUGACUCGAUCCCAUUUCCAUUGAGGUAUCAUGAUCGGCUGAAGCAACCCAGAUGGUACCUGAUGCUUGGCUUUAACUUGCUGACAAAUUAAACAUUUCGAAACAAAGUCAGAAAUGUCUCGUUUCAUACCUUGCCACCAAUAGUGCUGUUUCAGAUCGUUAUACAUUUUCGUGCUACCCGGAUGAACAGAAAAUCGACUACUAUGAGCUUCCUUCAAAAUCAUCUAAAUUAACUCUGAUUUUUUCGGAACACAUAAUCGGUUUCUAAAUCUCAAACAAUCCUCAGCAUCAACUAAAAACUCCGAAUCAAUAUUUAAGUCACAUUGAGCUCGUUUUGCAGUUAAAUCAUUAUCGACCUUUUGAGCUUCACAAAUCUGUUGUACAAAUAACGGUUUUGCUUUCAACUCAGCUACUAUCGCACCAUCAUCAGACAUAACCAUAUGUGCGUUCAUUGCACGCAAAGCAAACAGUGAUUUUCGACUUAGGGCAUCAGCAACAACAUUAGCCUUUCCCGGAUGAUAGUCAAUCACAAGCUCGUAUUCUUUCAGCAAUUCUAACCAUCGACGCUGUCUCAAAUUCAGAUAUUUCUGAGUCAUCAAAUAUUUCAGGCUUUUGGGAUCGGAAUAAACAUGACAUCUUUCACCAAACAGAUAGUGACGCCAUAUUUUUAACGCAAAUACAAUAGCGGCCAAUUCCAGAUCAUGUGUCGGAUAGUUUUUUUCAUGCGGCUUUAACUGUCUCAAGGCAUAGGCUACAACUUUGCCUUCCUACAUCAAAACACAACCCAAACCAUUUAAAGAUGCAUCACUAUAGAUAACAAACUCUUUACCCGAUUCGGGUUGAACUAAGACUGGAGCUUCGGUCAAAAGAACUUUCAACUGAUCAAAGUUUUUCUGACACUUUUCUGACCACUCGAACUUAACGUCUUUUUGUAGUAGCUUUGUCAUCGGGGUCGCAAUCAUAGAAAACCCUUUCACGAACCGUCUAUAAUAACCAGCGAGCCCCAGAAAGCUUCGAACAUCAGAGACAUUUCUCGGAGGUUUCCAAUCAAGUAUAGCUGAAAUUUUACCUGGAUCAACUCGAAUACCCGAUGCUGACACAACAUGGCCCAGAAAACUAACUUCACGUAACCAGAACUCGCAUUUACUGAACUUUGCAUACAACUGUUUAUCUCGCAAAGUUUGUAACACAAGUCUCAGAUGUUCAGUAUGCUCGGUUUCAUCACGAGAGUAGAUCAAAAUAUCAUCUAUAAAUACUACCACAAAUCGAUCCAGAUACUGUCUAAAAAUCUGAUUCAUCAAAUCCAUGAAAACAGCAGGUGCAUUAGUAAGUCCAAAAGGCAUAACCAAGAACUCAUAAUGUCCGUACCUCGUUCGGAAAGCUGUCUUUGGCACAUCAGAGUCUUUAACUCGCAACUGAUAGUAGCCUGAUCUCAGAUCUAUCUUCGAAAACACAGUAGCCCCUUUCAACUGAUCGAACAAAUCAUCAAUCCGUGGUAACGGAUACUUAUUCUUUAUAGUCACCUUAUUGAGUUGCCGGUAAUCAAUGCACAUUCUCAUUGUUCUGUCUUUCUUUUUCACAAAUAGAACUGGUGCACCCCAAGGAGAGAAACUCGGUCGUGUAAAACCUUUAUCAGUCAACUCUUGCAACUGUACUUUCAAUUCUUUUAAUUCGGUCGGUACCAUACGGUACGGAGCUAUCGAAAUUGGAGUUGUCCCUGGUACUAACUCAAUACCAAACUCUACCUCUCGAAUAGGUGGCAAACCCGGUAAUUCUUCGGGAAACACGUCUGAAUACUUACACACUACUGGCACAGAUUCAAUCUUCUUUUCGGUCACUUUACUAUCAAGAAAAAAUGCAAGGUAAUCUUCACAACCUUUUCUCACAUACUUCUGAGCCGACAUCGAGGAUAUUAUUGCUGGUAAACCAUUCAGAUCAUUAGAUUCAAUCCGAAUAAUCUCAUCAUUCUGACACCGUAGAUCAAUAGUUUUCCGUUUGCAGUUUACUAUAGCAUUAUGCAGAGUUAACCAAUCCAUACCCAGAAUUAUAUCAAACUCGUCAAAUGGUAGCAACAUCAAAUCAGCCAGAAAACAUAAAUCUCGAAUCAUCAACGGACAAUUCUUGCACACUUUGUCAACCAAAACACACCGGCCCAAGAGGUUCAAUACUUUAAUUACAAACUCAGUAGACUCAACAGGCAAAGUCUUACUGAAUACUAAAGUCUCACACACAUAAGAAUGAGUCGAACCAAGAUCAAUCAAUGCAAUAACAUUAGUAUCAUAAAGAGUGAAAGUACCAGUAAUAACAUCUGGAGAAGAAGCCUCCUCCCGAGCACGGAUGGCAUAUGCUCUGGCAAGUGCACGAGCCUCAGAUCGAACUGCCAUGUCCUUUGUUCCUCUCUGACUGCCACUUACAUUACUCAAUUGCCUCGGCGGUCUACCUCGUACAGGUACUUUACUCGGUCUGGUAUUCUACACAGUGUUUUGCUCAGCUACCAUCGGACACUCUCGAAUGAAAUGAUCCUUUGAACCGCACUUAAAGCAAGACCGAUCAUGUAAUCUGCAAUCUCCAGGAUGCCAUUUCCCACAAUGCUUGUACUCUGAUCUAUUUUGUCGAACACUACCAACGCUAGCAACUGAAGUAGCUCGUGAACUCACAGGGGGUCGAUCUCGAUCAUACUUAGGAAACCCUGCAGUAGCUUUAGAUCGGCUAUGAUCCUCUCUGGAUUUCAUUGAGGUCGACUGGAAUGAUUUACUGAAUGAUCUUUUACGAGAAUCUCGAGCUUCAUAGCCAGCUUUCCUCUUCUCUUUACUGAGCUCCUUAACUUUACAAGGUCGUUCAACAAGUACUACGAACUCUUUUAUCUCAAGUAUACCAAAUAACAGUUUAAUAUCUUCAUCCAGCCCAUCUUCAAAUCUUUUACACAUGAUAGCUUCAGUCGAAAUACAUUCUCGAGCAUAUCUACUGAGUCUCACAAAUUUCCGCUCAUAUUCUAUCACUGUCAUACGACCCUGUUUCAAUUCAAGAAAUUCCUUAUGCUUCUGAUCAAUGAAUCUUUGGCUGAUGUAUUUCUUACAGAACUCAAUCUGAAAGAAUUCCCAGGUCACUCGCUCUUUCGGAACCACCGAUACUAGUGUAUUCCACCAGUGAUAUGCAGUGUCCCGUAGCAAAGAUAUGGCACAUUUCAAGUACUCAUCAGGGGUGCAAGAUAACUCAUCAAACACUCGAAUAGUAUUAUCAAGCCAGAAUUCAGCUUGCUCAGCAUCAUCAUCAUCAGUAGCUCUGAACUCUUCGACCCCGUGUUUUCAAAUUUAGUCAACAGGAGGCUUAAGUAAUCUCAUCGGAUCACUUACUUGAGGUAUAAUAGGAAUCGAAGGUGGAUUAGUCGGGGGUGGAGUUUGUUGUGCAACCGGAUUAGUUCGGACAUAUUGAGUAAACCAGUCAUUCAUCAUUUGGUAGAAGGCUUGUUUAGCCUCUCCCUCCUGGUUACUCGAGGUCGGUCGAGAAUCUACCAGCUCUGUCCCUUGUGUGGGAGCAGGCGCUAUACUCUCAACAUCAUCGACUACGGCUGGAUCGGGAUCCAUUACUAUACGAAAACACAUUUUUAGACAUCAGCAGUCAUCGCACUAUCUUGGUAUAAAAAUAUGGCAUGUAUAGCUAGACUCAUACAUGCUACAUUAGUCCAAGAAUCGAUUAAACCGUAGCUCUGAUACCAAUAAAAUGUAACACCCCUAACCCGUAUCCGUCGCCGAAUUAGGGUUACGAGGCAUUACUGAACAAAUACAACCAUUUUUAAAACCAACUGAUCACAAACAUGAAAAUUAAAUCAUUUUCACAUAGCUAUUUAUAAUUUACAAUCAACAUCUAACCAACAUCGUACUCAAACCUAUACAUGCCAUAAGAUCAAGUUCAAAUAUUUAACAAAAUACCAAAAGGGGUCGAAAGUGUGAUAGACUAUGCUGAUGAUCCCCGAGCUCGUAACGCAUCUCCAAAAUCUAUAAAAACAAAUGGACAAAAACAAUCAAAGUAAGCUUUUAUAGCUUAGUAAGUCUAUAGCAUAUCUAAAAUACAUAUAAAAGAAUCAUAUAAUUCUUAAAAUAAAUUUAUUGAAAUCACAAUUAUCAAUUAUAAUUACUAAUCGAACAUUGCUAUAUUAAGUCAUCUUGUUUAAAUCUAAAAGGAUGUGUAUUUAUCUAAUACACAUGAACGGACAAAUGUAUAUACAUUAUAUGCAUAUAAUCAAUUUACUAACAUAAUCAUUAAUUGCAUAUACGGAUUUCUAUAGUACUUAUUGUUCGCACUUAAUCGGAUCCAUUUAAAUAUAAUUGUUCAAAUACAUAUACCAAAAGCAUAAUAAUUUUAUACUUGAUCAACUAUAAGUGCCGAAUGCACAUAUACACCUAUACCCACCUAUGCCGAAUGCAUACAUAUAUACACAUAUAUAUAUAUCCAACAAUUUCGUGACAACCGAUAUAUAUAUACAUACUCACUAUUCACAAGGACUCGAACGAUUAUAUACUCAUCAACCACCUUAAAACAAUGUUCAUAAACUUAUCCAUUUCAUAUAAACAAAAGCAUAUAUAUUUAUACCCAAUGCAUAGAAUCACUUAAUUUAAACAGAUUCACUAGCACUUCACCUGAUAGGCUUAUAGUUUAAUUCAGUUCACCGGUACUUAGCCUACUAGGCUUGUAGCCUGAUUCAGUUCACCGGCACUUAGCCUGCUAGACGUAUAGUCCGAUUCAAUUCACCGGCAUUUAGCCUGCUAGACGUAUAGUCCGAUUCAAUUUAUCGGCACUUAGCCUGCUAGAUGUAUAGUCUGAAUAAUUUUACUGGUAAUAAAUCCGAUAGUCAUUUCUCCGUUGAAAUUGAAUUAUAUUCAAUUCUGCGUAACAAACAUGCACUUAAAACAUACUUGCAUAAUUCACAACAAUAAUUUCAGUCCAAAGAGCUGUAAUUCAUAUUCGAACUAUAUAUAUAAAUCCAUACAUAAAAAUUCAGCUCAAAAUUUAUAACCUAUAUCUUUGAACCACAUAGGUACAUGAAAUUCAAACAACAAAAUCCAGCUCAAUAACUUCAUGAUUCAACCUAACAAAUUUAUGUAUAUAACUUUUUAUCUAAUUUCAAUACAAUAACUUAUACAUGUACGUAUAUACAUAUUCGAAUCUAACAUAUACAUAUAUAAUUUCAUACUUAAAUAUAUUCAAGACUUAUUCAUGAGUAUACAUAUAUAUUACAACUCACAUGUACAUAUAUAUACACAUUCAUACCUUUAACCAAGUCCAAGGCUUUAUACAUGUAUAUGCUUAUAUAUAUAUAUAUUCGGACCUUAUGUUUACAUAUAUAUUAUAUAUAAAUACCUUUGAUUAAAAACAAGUAUUUAUACAUAUAUAUAUUUUUGAACAUGAUACAUAUAUAUAUUUAUAUCAUUCAUACUUAAACAAAAUUCAAUCCAUAUACUUUCAAUUUCAGCUCACCAAAUUACUAUAGAUAUACAUGCAUAUAUACUGAUUUAAUAACCUCAAAUUGCUAAUAGACUUACCUCGGAUAUCAGCGGACACGAUCGACUAUUCGAUUACUUUCGUUUUUCCCCGAUCCAAAUUCGUUUUCUUCGUUUUUUUAUCUUAAUUAGACCUAGAGAUAGCCGAACCUUGUUGUUCUCUUUUCUUUUCUUUUCUUUUUCUUUUCUAUAUUCGGCCAAGAUGAAGAACAUGGCAUUUAAAAUUUGUUAUAUUAAACAUAUAUUAGCCUUAUUUUUAAUUUACUAUAUUAACCUUUACAUAUAUAUAUAACAUAUAUAAUAAGGUUACAUUAGUCCUUUGCCACCCACUAACUUACAUAGUGGACUAAUUGCAUAGUAAAACCUCUAAAUUAUAAAGACAACAACAAUUAGGUGCUUUUAUAAUUAACCCCUAAAUUUUCAUUUUACGCGAUUAAGCCCUUUUAUUAAAUCGGACACUUAAACGACGAAAUUAAAACACGAAAAUUUCACACAAUCAAAUGCAUACAAAAUAAUAUUAAUAAUAUUUUUCUAAUUCAAAUUUGUGGUCCCGAAACCAGUAUUCUGAUUAGGGUCAAAAACCGGGUUGUUACAACUCUCCCCCCUUAGAGAUUUUCGUCCCCGAAAAUCUUACCGGUGAAUAGGUUUGGAUAACGCUCUUUCAUUGUAUCUUCUGACUCCCAAGUUGCUUCUUCAACCCCAUGUUUAUGCCACAACACUUUAACUAACGGAAUUUUCUUAUUUCGUAAUUCUUUGAUCUCACGAGCAAGAAUGCUAAUCGGUUCUUCCUCAUAUGUCAUAUCAGAGUUAAUUUCAAUCUCCGUCGGACUAAUCACAUGUGAAGGAUCAGAUCGGUAUCUACGGAGCAUCGAAACAUGGAAUACGUUAUGAAUCUUUUCUAACUCAGGCAGUAACAUCAAUCUAUAAGCAACCAAUCCAACUCGCUCUAUAAUCUCAUACGGUCCAAUUAAUCUCGGACACAAUUUGCCUUUACGACCAAAUCUGAGUAUUUUCUUCCACGGUGAGACUUUUAACUUGCUCGGUGUCAACGGUAAAUCGGAUACAAAAUCCAUCGUGACUCGAUCCCAUUUCCAUUGAGGUAUCAUGAUCGGCUGAAGCAAUCCAGAUGGUACCUGAUGCUCGGCUUUAACUUGCUGACAAAUUAAACAUUUCGAAACAAAGUCAGAAAUGUCUCGUUUCAUACCUUGCCACCAAUAGUGCUGUUUUAGAUCGUUAUACAUUUUCGUGCUACCCGGAUGAACAGAAAAUCGAAUACUAUGAGCUUCCUUCAAAAUCAUCUGAAUUAACUCUGAAUUUUUCGGAACACAUAAUCGGUUUCUAAAUCUCAAACAAUCCUCAGCAUCAACUAAAAACUCCGAAUCAAUAUUUAAGUCACAUUGAGCUCGUUUUGCAGUUAAAUCAUUAUCAACCUUUUGAGCUUCACAAAUCUGUUGUACAAAUAACAGUUUUGCUUUCAACUCAGCUACUAUCGCACCAUCAUCAGACAUAACCAUAUGUGCGUUCAUUGCACGCAAAGCAAACAGUGAUUUUCGACUUAGGGCAUCAGCAACAACAUUAGCCUUUCCCGGAUGAUAGUCAAUCACAAGCUCGUAAUCUUUCAGCAAUUCUAACCAUCGACGCUGUCUCAAAUUCAGAUAUUUCUGAGUCAUCAAAUAUUUCAGGCUUUUGGGAUCGGAAUAAACAUGACAUCUUUCGCCAAACAGAUAGUGACGCCAUAUUUUUAACGCAAAUACAAUAGCGGCCAAUUCCAGAUCAUGCGUCGGAUAGUUUUUUUCAUGCGGCUUUAACUGUCUCAAGGCAUAGGCUACAACUUUGCCUUCCUACAUCAAAACACAACCCAAACCAUUUAAAGAUGCAUCACUAUAGAUAACAAACUCUUUACCCGAUUCGGGUUGAACUAGGACUGGAGCUUCGGUCAAAAGAACUUUCAACUGAUCAAAGUUUUUCUGACACUUUUCUGACCACUCGAACUUAACGUCUUUUUGUAGUAGCUUUGUCAUCGGGGUCGCAAUCAUAGAAAACCCUUUCACGAACCGUCUAUAAUAACCAGCGAGCCCCAGAAAGCUUCGAACAUCAGAGACAUUUCUCGGAGGUUUCCAAUCAAGUAUAGCUGAAAUUUUACUUGGAUCAACCUGAAUACCCGAUGCUGACACAACAUGGCCCAGAAAACUAACUUCACGUAACCAGAACUCGAAUUUACUGAACUUUGCAUACAACUGUUUAUCUCGCAAAGUUUGUAACACAAGUCUCAGAUGUUCAGUAUGCUCGGUUUCAUCACGAGAGUAGAUCAAAAUAUCAUCUAUAAAUACUACCACAAACAGAUCCAGAUACUGUCUAAAAAUCUGAUUCAUCAAAUCCAUGAAAACAGCAGGUGCAUUAGUAAGUCCAAAAGGCAUAACCAAGAACUCAUAAUGUCCGUACCUCGUUCGGAAAGCAGUCUUUGGCACAUCAGAGUCUUUAACUCGCAACUGAUAGUAGCCUGAUCUCAGAUCUAUCUUCGAAAACACAGUAGCCCCUUUCAACUGAUCGAACAAAUCAUCAAUCCGUGGUAACGGAUACUUAUUCUUUAUAGUCACCUUAUUGAGUUGCCGGUAAUCAAUGCACAUUCUCAUUGUUCCGUCUUUCUUUUUCACAAAUAGAACUGGUGCACCCCAAGGAGAGAAACUCGGUCGUGCAAAACCUUUAUCAGUCAACUCUUGCAACUGUACUUUCAAUUCUUUUAAUUCAGUCGGUGCCAUACGGUACGGAGCUAUCGAAAUUGGAGUUGUCCCUGGUACUAACUCAAUACCAAACUCUACCUCUCGAAUAGGUGGCAAACCCGGUAAUUCUUCGGGAAACACGUCUGAAUACUUACACACUACUGGCACAGAUUCAAUCUUCUUUUCGAUCACUUUACUAUCAAGAAAAAAUGCAAGGUAAUCUUCACAACCUUUUCUCACAUACUUUUUUGCCGACAUCGAGGAUAUUAUUGCUGGUAAACCAUUCAGAUCAUUAGAUUCAAUCCGAAUAAUCUCAUCAUUCUGACACCGUAGAUCAAUAGUUUUCCGUUUGCAGUUUACUAUAGCAUCAUGCAGAGUUAACCAAUCCAUACCCAGAAUUAUAUCAAACUCGUCAAAUGGUAGCAACAUCAAAUCAGCCAGAAAACAUAAAUCUCGAAUCAUCAACGGACAAUUCUUGCAUAUUUUGUCAACCAAAACACACCGGCCCAGGGGGUUCAAUACUUUAAUUACAAACUCAGUAGACUCAACAGGCAAAGUCUUACUGAAUACUAAAGUCUCACACACAUAAGAAUGAGUCGAACCAAGAUCAAUCAAUGCAAUAACAUUAGUAUCAUAAAGAGGGAAAGUACCAGUAAUAACAUCUGGAGAAGAAGCCUCCUCUUGAGCACGGAUGGCAUAUGCUCUGGCAAGUGCACGAGCCUCAGAUCGAACUGCCAUGUCCUUUGUUCCUCUCUGACUGCCACUUACAUUACUCAAUUGCCUCGGUGGUCUACCUCGUACUGGCACUUUACUCGGUCUGGUAUUCUGCACAGUGUUUUGCUCAGCUACCAUCGGACACUCUCGAAUGAAAUGAUCCUUUGAACCGCACUUAAAGCAAGACCGAUCAUGUAAUCUGCAAUCUCCAGGAUGCCAUUUCCCACAAUACUUGUACUCUGAUCUAUUUUGUCGAACACUACCAACGCUAGCAACUGAAGUAGCUCGUGAACUCACAGGGGGUCGAUCUCGAUCAUACUUAGGAAACCCUGCAGUAGCUUUAGAUCGGCUAUGAUCCUCUCUGGAUUUCAUUGAGGUCGACUGGAAUGAUUUACUGAAUAAUCUUUUACGAGAAUCUCGAGCUUCAUAGCCAGCUUUCCUCUUCUCUUUCCCGAGCUCCUCAACUUUACAAGGUCGUUCAACAAGUACUACGAACUCUUUUAUCUCAAGUAUACCAAAUAACAGUUUAAUAUCUUCAUCCAGCCCAUCUUCAAAUCUUUUACACAUGAUAGCUUCAGUCGAAAUACAUUCUCGAGCAUAUCUACUGAGUCUCACAAAUUUCCGCUCAUAUUCUAUCACUGUCAUACGACCCUGUUUCAAUUUAAGAAAUUACUUACGCUUCUGAUCAAUGAAUCUUUGGCUGAUGUAUUUCUUACAGAACUCAAUCUGAAAGAAUUCCCAGGUCACUCGCUCUUUCGGAACCACCGAUACUAGUGUAUUCCACCAGUGAUAUGCAGUGUCCCGUGGCAAAGAUAUGGCACAUUUCAAGUACUCAUCAGGGGUGCAAGAUAACUCAUCAAACACUCGAAUAGUAUUAUCAAGCCAGAAUUCAUCUCGCUCAGCAUCAUCAUCAUCAGUAGCUCUGAACUCUUCGACCCCGUGUUUUUGAAUUUUGUCAAUAGGAGGCUUAAGUAAUCUCAUCGGAUCACUUACUUGAGGUAUAACAGGAAUCGAAGGUGGAUUAGUCGGGGGUGGAGUUUGUUGUGCAACCGGAUUAGUUCGGACAUAUUGAGUAAACCAGUCAUUCAUCAUUUGGUAGAAGGCUUGUUUAGCCUCUCCCUCCUGGUUACUCGAGGUCGGUCGAGAAUCUACCGGCUCUGUCCCUUGUGUGGGAGCAGGCGCUAUACCCUCAACAUCAUCGACUACGGCUCGAUCGGGAUCCAUUACUAUACGAAAACACAUUUUUAGACAUCAGCAGUCAUCACACUAUCUUGGUAUAAAAAUAUGGCAUGUAUAGCUAGACUCAUACAUGCUACAUUAGUCCAAGAAUCGAUUAAACCGUAGCUCUGAUACCAAUAAAAUGUAACACCCCUAACCCGUAUCCGUCGCCGAAUUAGGGUUACGAGGCAUUACUGAACAAAUACAACCAUUUUUAAAACCAACUGAUCACAAACAUGAAAAUUAAAUCAUUUUCACAUAGCUAUUUAUAAUUUACAAUCAACAUCUAACCAACAUCGUACUCAAACCUAUACAUGCCAUAAGAUCAAGUUCAAAUAUUUAACAAAAUACCAAAAGGGGUCAAAAGUGUGAUAGACUAUGCUGAUGAUCCCCGAGCUCGUAACGCGUCUCCAAAAUCUAUAAAAACAAAUGGACAAAAACAAUCAAAGUAAGCUUUUAUAGCUUAGUAAGUCUAUAGCAUAUCUAAAAUACAUAUAAAAGAAUCAUAUAAUUCUUAAAAUAAAUUUAUUGAAAUCACAAUUAUCAAUUAUAAUUACUAAUCGAACAUUGCUAUAUUAAGUCAUCUUGUUUAAAUCUAAAAGGAUGUGUAUUUAUCUAAUACACAUGAACGGACAAAUGUAUAUACAUUAUAUGCAUAUAAUCAAUUUACUAACAUAAUCAUUAAUUGCAUAUACGGAUUUCUAUAGUACUUAUUGUUCGCACUUCAUCGGAUCCAUUUAAAUAUAAUUGUUCAAAUACAUAUACCAAAAGCAUAAUAAUUUUAUACUUGAUCAACUAUAAGUGCCGAAUGCACAUAUACACCUAUACCCACCUAUGCCGAAUGCAUACAUAUAUACACAUAUAUAUAUAUCCAACAAUUUCAUGACAACCGAUAUAUAUAUACAUACUCACUAUUCACAAGGACUCGAACGAUUAUAUACUCAUCAACCACCUUAAAACAAUGUUCAUAAACUUAUCCAUUUCAUAUAAACAAAAGCAUAUAUAUUUAUACCCAAUGCAUAGAAUCACUUAAUUUAAACAGAUUCACUGGCACUUCACCUGAUAGGCUUAUAGUUUAAUUCAGUUCACCGGCACUUAGCCUACUAGGCUUGUAGCCUGAUUCAGUUCACCGGCACUUAGCCUGCUAGACGUAUAGUCCGAUUCAAUUCACCGGCAUUUAGCCUGCUAGACGUAUAGUCCGAUUCAAUUUACCGGCACUUAGCCUGCUAGAUGUAUAGUCUGAAUAAUUUUACUGGUAAUAAAUCCGAUAGUCAUUUCUCCGUUGAAAUUGAAUUAUAUUCAAUUCUGCGUAACAAACAUGCACUUAAAACAUACUUGCAUAAUUCACAACAAUAAUUUCAGUCCAAAGAGCUGUAAUUCAUAUUCGAACUAUAUAUAUAUAAAUCCAUACAUAAAAAUUCAGCUCAAAAUUUAUAACCUAUAUCUUUGAACCACAUAGGUACAUGAAAUUCAAACAACAAAAUCCAGCUCAAUAACUUCAUGAUUCAACCUAACAAAUUUAUGUAUAUAACUUUUUAUCUAAUUUCAAUACAAUAACUUAUACAUGUACGUAUAUACAUAUUUGAAUCUAACAUAUACAUAUAUAAUUUCAUACUUAAAUAUAUUCAAGACUUAUUCAUGAGUAUACAUAUAUAUUACAACUCACAUGUACAUAUAUAUACACAUUCAUACCUUUAACCAAGUCCAAGGCUUUAUACAUGUAUAUGCUUAUAUAUAUAUAUAUUCGGACCUUAUGUUUACAUAUAUAUUAUAUAUAAAUACCUUUGAUUAAAAACAAGUAUUUAUACAUAUAUAUAUUUUCGAACAUGAUACAUACAUAUAUUUAUAUCAUUCAUACUUAAACAAAAUUCAAUCCAUAUACUUUCAAUUUCAGCUCACCAAAUUACUAUAGAUAUACAUGCAUAUAUACUGAUUUAAUAACCUCAAAUUGCUAAUAGACUUACCUCGGAUAUCAGCGGACACGAUCGACUAUUCGAUUACUUUCGUUUUUCCCCGAUCCAAAUUCGUUUUCUUCGUUUUUUUAUCUUAAUUAGACCUAGAGAUAGCCGAACCUUGUUGUUCUCUUUUCUUUUCUUUUCUUUUUCUUUUCUAUAUUCGGCCAAGAUGAAGAACAUGGCAUUUAAAAUUUGUUAUAUUAAACAUAUAUUAGCCUUAUUUUUAAUUUACUAUAUUAACCUUUACAUAUAUAUAACAUAUAUAAUAAGGUUACAUUAGUCCUUUGCCACCCACUAACUUACAUAGUGGACUAAUUGCAUAGUAAAACCUCUAAAUUAUAAAGACAACAACAAUUAGGUGCUUUUAUAAUUAACCCCUAAAUUUUCAUUUUACGCGAUUAAGCCCUUUUAUUAAAUCGGACACUUAAACAACGAAAUUAAAACACGAAAAUUUCACACAAUCAAAUGCAUACAAAAUAAUAUUAAUAAUAUUUUUCUAAUUCAAAUUUGUGGUCCCGAAACCAGUAUUCUGAUUAGGGUCAAAAACUGGGUUGUUACAACUCUCCCCCCUUAGGGAUUUUCGUCCCCGAAAAUCUUACCGGUGAAUAGGUUUGGAUAACGCUCUUUCAUUGUAUCUUCUGACUCCCAAGUUGCUUCUUCAACCCCAUGUUUAUGCCACAACACUUUAACUAACGGAAUUUUCUUAUUUCGUAAUUCUUUGAUCUCACGAGCCAGAAUGCUAAUCGGUUCUUCCUCAUAUGUCAUAUCAGAGUUAAUUUCAAUCUCCGUCGGACUAAUCACAUGUGAAGGAUCAGAUCGGUAUCCACAGAGCAUUGAAACAUGGAAUACGUUAUGAAUCUUUUCUAACUCAGGCAGUAACAUCAAUCUAUAACCAACCGAUCCAACUCGCUCUAUAAUCUCAUACGGUCCAAUGAAUCUCGGACUCAAUUUGCCUUUACGACCAAAUCUGAGUAUUUUCUUCCACGGUGAGACUUUUAAAAACACUUUAUCCCCGAUCUGAAAUUCUAUAUCCUUUCUUUUCAAAUCCGCAUAAGAUUUCUGACGAUCCGGUGCUGAUUUCAGACUGUCCCGAAUCACUUUCACUUUCUGUUCGGUCUCUUUAAUCAAAUCAACCCCGUGUAUCUUAUUUUCACUGAGCUCAGUCCAAUACAGUGGUGUACGACAUUUACGACCGUACAAAGCCUCAUAAGGUGCCAUUUUGAUACUAGAUUGAAAGCUAUUAUUAUAAGCAAAUUCAAUCAAAGGUAAGUAUCGUUCCCACGUACCUUCAAACUCGAGAAUGCAACAUCUCAACAUAUCCUCAAGUAUCUGAAUGAUUCGUUCAGAUUGACCAUCUGUCUGCGGAUGGAAAGCUGUGCUAAAAUGUAGUUUCGUACCUAAAGCUGUGCUAAAAUGCACACAAAAUAAACACACAAAAUAAUAUUAAUAAUAUUUUUCUAAUUCGGAUUUGUGGUCCCGAAACCACUAUUCCGAUUAGGGUCAAAAACCGGGUUGUUACAAUUCUGCUUCUUCUGCAUCAUCAUCUUUGGUAGCUCGAAAUUCUUCAGCCCCUUACUUCCUAAUCUUAUCAACAGGUGGUCUCUCACUGAUGACUAUACCUGCAGCUAGGGAAACUACAUGAGGAACCUGUGAAUCCUGAAGGGGUGGAGGUCUUACACCCGGAUUCAUACGAACGAACUCGGCAAACCAAUCAUUCAUGGCUUGGAAGAAGGCUUCUCUAGCUCCUCCUCCCUGUCUAACUGAUGCAGGUCUUUCACUAACGUUAACAUCUAGUGGCACCGUCCUUUCUGCGGAAGUAGGCGCAUUACUCUCUACUUCAUCUGCACCAGCUCGUUCAGGAUCCGUAACUAUAAAAUAAAAUAUUUUAAAAUCGUCAAGAGUCGUCACACUAUCAAAAUAUAUAAGUAUGGCAUGUAUAGGUAGACUUUUAUUCAUACUGCAUAUUUCUGAGAACCGAUUAAACCUGCUCUGAUACCAACAAAUGUAACACCCCUUACCCAAGACCAUUUUCGGAGUCGAGCACGAGGCAUUACUUAUCUUAUCUUACUAACUCGAAGCAUAAAAACUUAUUUUAAAAAUUAAUUUCACUAUUUACAGCAAUCUGUCCAAUCGAGCAGCAGUUACUAAAUUAAUAAUAACUCGAGCUACGGAACUUGAAAUUUAACUUCGUAAAUUUUCACUGAAACUAGACUCAUAUAUCUUCCUACCAUAAAGUUUUUAGGAUUUUUUGUUUAGCCAACUAGUACAGUUUAUUAGUCAAAUUCUCCCCUGUUUCACCAAUCGAUUGCCUUGACCUCUUAUCACUAAAAAUAAAAUUUCUCAAUGUGGGAUUUUCGUAUAGUGCUACUGCUUGCUUCUACAAAAAAUAGACUCAAUAAGGAAUCUAUAAAUAUAAACUACAGCUCCUAAAUAUUUUUUUAAAAAUUUUAAUGAUUUUCUAAACUCAAAAUAGGGGUCACCAAAAACUGUUCUAACCCUGUCUCACCAAAAUUCACAUAUCUUAAAAUAUAAAAUUCAUUUUGCUACACCGUUAUUUUUAUCUGAAAAUAGACUCAACAAGAUUUAAAUUCAUAUAUCAUUCACUCUUUAAUUCAUUUUAUACUAUCCUAGGUGAUAUUUCAAAGUCACGUCGUUGUUGCUGCCUGAAUUCUGUUUCUUUGCAAAAUUGUACCAUUUUAUGAUUUCCAUGCAUAGUUUAUCACUUACACUCUUAUAACAACAAACACUUCCAUACUUCACCAUUUUAGCAACCAUUCAUCAUCAACUACUUACAUAUCAUUCUUUAUCAAGAUCAUAAAUACAAACAUUUAAAAUAACUAAAUCCCUAUACAUUCCAUACUCAACAUGGUUCAACAUAAAAAUACCGAGUUGCUGUGGCUGAUAGUGUGGACGAUCUCCGACUUCUUUAGGAUCCUUGAAGUAACCUUGCAAUACUAUAAGAGAAAGAGAAAUAAAAGACGUAAGCAUAAAGCUUAGUAAGUUUACUAGCAAAUAAAUAACAAUAUUUAACUCAGAUAAUUAAACUCAAGUGUCUAUAUCUCUAGUUUACUCUUUAGUUAAUCCCAUUCUAGUUCUCUUGCUUGUUUACUUAGUAUACUUGUGUGCAUAACUUAAUCUUCUCUUGCUGUAUCGUUGAAUAUCAAUUGAUAAUAUAAUAAGUUCUUAACUCUUAUAACUUACCUGAACUUGCCAUUUAUGUUUUUAACUGAACUUUCCUGAACAUGAUUCGUUAUUUAGCCCGUUGAGCUACAUUGGAACAAUAAGGAUACUCGGGUCUCUUCUGAUAAUAACAUGCCAAAGCCAUGUCCCAGACAUGGUCUUACAUGGGAUGUACUCAUGUCGGUGCCCAUUCCAUGUCCCAGACAUGGUCUUACGGGGGACCUCUCAUCUCGGUGCCAAUGUCAUGUCUCAGACAUGGUCUUACAUGGGACCUCUCAUCUCGGUGCCAACACCAUGUCCCAGACAUUGUCUUACAUGGGACCUCUCAUUUCGGUGCCAACGCCAUGUCCCAGACAUGGUCUUACAUGGGACCUCUUUAUCCAAAUGUCAUGACAUUCGUAUCCAGUAUUAUCCUUAUGUAUCAACGGGACUUUUUAAUUUUAAUUCUCUAUCAUUUCAUGCUUGGAUAAUCAUCAAAUAAAUUCAUGAAAUAAAUUCAUAGUUGCUGGAAAAUAGCAGCAUUAAUAAAAAUUAUUGAAAUAUUUCAUUUAUUUACCGUAAACUUACCUUGGUACCGAAUAUAGCCCAAUUCACCAACUUAGUCUUCAACUUUAUUCUUUCCUUUGUCUAACCUCGAGUUUCAUUCUUCUUGAUCUAAAAUAGAAAAUUUAACUUAUUUAAUACUCACAUUCAUCAAAACAGCCCUCGACUCUAACUUUUCAAAAUUAUGAUUUUGCCCCUAAACUUUUACAUAAUUACAUUUUUCCCCAAGGCUCGAAAAUUCAACUUCAUCUCAUAUUCUUAUGUUUUAUGGCAUGCUGAAUAUUUUUCUCUUCUAUGACAAUAUCAAAUUCUCACUCUAACACUUACUUAUGUACAUUAGAGAUUUUUACCGAUUAUGUCAACUUACUCGUUUUUGCUUAAAAUCGGCUAACAAAAGUUGUUUAACAUAAUUUAUAGCUUCAUAUUCUAUCAUAAAACAUCAAAAUAAACACUUUUCACCUAUGGGUAUUUUUCCAAAUAUAAACCCUAGGUUAAAUUAUUGCUAGAAUAAGCUAAAUUAAGUUACCGGGACUCCAAAAACGUAAGGAACAUUAAAAACGGGGCUUGGGAUCACUUACUAUGGAGCUUGGAAGCUUGAAAACCCUAAAUAUGGCUUACCCCCUUGCUGAUUUCGUCCAAAUGAAGAAGAUGAGCAUAAUUUGUCAUCUUUUUCCCUUUUAAUUCAUUUUAAUUACUAGAUUACCAAAUUGCCCCUAACUUAAAAAUUUCCUAUUUCACUUAUCUCAUGUCCAUUUUUGUCUAAAAACUUAACCAAUGGUCUAAUUACCAUAUAAAGACCUCCAAUUUAAAGUUUCAUAACAAUUGGACACCUCUAACAUGUAGAACUCAACUUUUGCACUUUUUGCAAUUUAGUACUUUUGACUAAAUUGAGUGCCCAAACUUCAAAAUUUUCGAAUAAAAUUUUCAUGAAAUCAUUUUGUGAAAUCAUAGACCAUAAAAAUAUAAGAAAAAUAAAAUUUUCCUCAUCGGAUUUGUGAUCCCGAAACCACUGUUCCGAUAAUCUUAAAUUUGGGCCAUUACAUGAUCACCUUUUUACUAGCUCAUACAUCUCCUACAUCAGACCUUACAUGCAUGCUUACCAAACUUUAUUCUUUUUAACAAAACUUUAUACAUAUCAUCGUAGCACAUCUUUCAUCUUUACUAAACUCAUAUUUUUACCAAUUUCUGUAGACAUCAUCAUCAUCAUCCUAUAUAUAUGCUUCUUGUUUGAACAGUUCAUAUCAAAGAGUCAAGAUAGAGACCCACUUGACACUCACCUACUGCAGUUCAAAGCUCUAAACUUAACCAUCCUUCUCAAACCAGCAGUAAAAACUGCUUAUAGAACAUAGAAUCACCAUUAAAAACCCAUUUACAUACAAAUUACUAUCAUCUUAAUCACUUUUCCACUGUUAAUUUAUAAAUAAGUGUUAAGUAGUAAAUAAAUAAAAAAAUUAACUAAGUUUUCAAAAAAAAAGUCACUGUGACGAGAAGAAUGUUAAAAUUAAUUGGUGUUUGUUAACUCAUAUGUUUUUCUAAAAAUGGGUUAAGUUUUCUUCUGAAAUAAACAAAUGUUUUAAAAUGAUUGUUUUAUAAACUCCGAUCGUACUAUCCCAUCUUGGUGGCUGAUGUAAUAUCCCAAAUUCAGGUCUAACAUCUAAGUCGGGUUGGAUAGGUUACAAUAUAUAUAGAAAGAUUGAUAAAUAAUGCAAACUUGAAUACAAGCAAAGAAAGAAAUCAAUCAAUGUGAAUGACUAACAAGUUUAAAAUCAUAUAUUUGCAUUAUAUUUUGUAAAGCACAAGAUUGUCAUGGAAUUAGACAAUUUGUUUUGAUAAUGGUUAUAUUUUAUAUAGAUUUACUUUUAUGCACUUUCAUAUUGAGUUGAUCAAAAGUUUUGAAACUUUAUAGAAAAUUUGAAUGAAAGAGCAUAUUGAUAUAUAUGCUAUCUUGAGUGUUGAAUUAAGCAUUCUUUAGUAAAAGAGUGUACAUUUCGCACAUGGUAGGUGUGUUGGUUUCUUAUAUAUUAAUUAAGCACAAAUUAAAGAAAAAUAAUAUAUAUCACCAUAGUGUUGUAAUAUUUUGUAUAAUUUGUGAAAUUAUACAAGCAAAUAAGUUUACCUAUCUUGUUAAAUAAAACUCAUUAAGUUGGUUCUUAAUCUUGAAGAAUUAAAUAGGUUGGCUUCUUUAUUCAUUUUAUCCAACUACAAGUUAGAUUAAAGUUGUGGAAAUAGAAUGGUUGAAAAUUUGUGUUAAUGAGAAUUAGAGUUAUGGCCACAACUGAUGCCAACUAUUUCCUAAAAACAGGGAAUGAUGUCCAAAAACAUGCUGUAAAAUAAAAAUUUGGACAUGUUAGAAUAUGAAUUUAUUAUAUUAUAGUUUCAAUGUAAUACCCUUAUCCCAUCUCUGUUGCCGGAUUAGGAUUUCAGAGUAUUACUGAGAAAAAUAGAACAUUUAACUUUCCAACAGAAACAAUUGUACAAUUAAAUACCAACAUAUAACAAUUGAAUCUAAUCAUGGCAAAUAUUACACUUUUGGACCUUGAAUCGAGCCUAUGGGGCCCUAGAAACAGUUUAGGAACAAUCUGGGAUCAAAUCAAAACAAAUCAGAACAUUUUGAAAAAACAUAAAAAUUUAGGAAUACAGAGGUCACAGGCCAUAUGGCCAAGUCGUGUGACAUAGCCUAGAUUGUGUAAACAUCCGAAGUCAGGACACAUAGCUGUGUCCCAGCCUGUGUGUCUACUCAUGUGUAUAUUUGAAAUAGGGUCACACAGUCGUGUUGCAGACUGCCAAACGUGUGUGUAUUCAAAGUGAGGUCGCAAGACCAUGUGGCCGACCGUGCCACAAACUGUUUUGAGACACAAGGUCAUGUCUCAGACCGUGUAAAACAUGCACUUAAAAUAAUAAAUACACACGACCGUAUCUAGUGACUAUGUGUGGCACAUGGUCGUGUGGUAGCUUGUGUCUCAGGUCGUGUGCUCCAUUUUUAACCCCUAAAUCAAGCCAAUCAAGCAUCAUUUCUUAUACAACAAGACAUACCAUAUCUAACUAAUUUUACAUGGUUAAAAACACAUUCAAAUCAACAAAUACAUGCCAAAAUUUCGUUCAUCCUAUGUCUAACCAAUAUGCCAUCAAAAGGCACCUCAAUCCAUACAUCCAUUCAACUCAAGAACAAAGUUACAAUAAAUGAACAAGUUUUAUCAUUAGUUAACCAUUCAUGCCUAAAACCACUAAUCUAAUUGACCAAAAUAUGGGCAUACUCAACAAGCAACCAUUUCAAAACAUCAUCAUCAAAUCUUUAUAUACCAUUUAUGAUCAACUUAAUUAUAUUCAACACAAGUACACAUCCAAAAUCAAGCACAUCACUAAGUAUGCCAAAAUAACUUAACUAUUUACAUAUCAACAAUAAGACACCAUAUCCCAAAAUGAAAUAAAAAAGCUACCAAGAUGGUUGGAUAGUGUGUGCUCCAAAACAAUUCAUCCGGUUAGUCCACAAAACGCCAAAUCAACCAAUAUAGAUAAACAAAAAGGUAAGUUCUAAUUCUUGAUAUUCAAAUGCAAGAUCACACCACAUUAGUAUAUAUUUAUUUACAUCAUAAAUGAUACCUUCCAAAAUUCAUAACCAAUUCAUCAUCCACAAUUUCUCAAUACAACCAUUAAUAUUUAUAAACAAGAACUUCAUAGUAACAUUUAUCAUUUAGUAGUAAUAUAAUUAUCCAACAAAAUUGAACAAAUAAAUGCGUUUUAAGUCAUUUGAUACAUAGCCUGCUGAACUAUAGUAACUUGACUCGGAUACUCAUGAUACUACAUCACACCAAAGGUAUCAAUGAUGCAUAACAGAGGCACCGAAGUGCAGACAAAUGCAUGAAUGUGCAAUCAGAGGCACCGAAGUGAAAACAGAUGCACCAAAGUACAAACCCGUACGAGUGCGCAUUAAAACCCUAUUGGCAUGCUAAUCGUAUCCUAAUUGUUUACUACGUUCAACUGGGCAUUAUACUUAAAAUCAUAAUAUCAAUAAAUCCAUCAUUUAGAGGCACUUCUUAUUUCCGUACACAUACUAUAAAUAUGUAACUUUCAUUUCAAUAAUAUGCAAUAACAAUAAUUACCAUCAUCAAACAUUCAUUUUCUAUUUGUACUUAAUUGCAAAAUUUAAUAAUAUAUAAGUAACUCAUGAAAUUUCACAUAUAUACCAUUAACUAGAAAACAAUAAUAUAAUCAUAAAGUGACACACAUAUACAUAUUAUUACACUAUGAACUUACCUAAAAUCUACUUUCGAUUAAUACACAGGGACUACUCCGCUAUUUUUUCCCUUUUCUCGGUUAUUGUCUUUUUGACUCGGUUCUUGAUCUAUAUAGUAAUUAAAUUCAAUUUAUGAAAUUCACAUACAUUUAAAACUCAAUUCAAUGCAUGAUACCCUUAUGUUUUCAUUAUUUUCACAUUUUUCUUAAACUUUUACAUUUCUCACAAUUUAGUCCCUACAAAAUUUAACAAAAUUUUACAAUUUUCCAUGUUAGUUGAACUUCUUUCGAAACUAGUACAAUCCCUAAUUAUUCACAAUUCACAAAAUUUCUAUGCAAAUUUUAAUAAUUCACACAUUGAUCAUUAAACUCAAAAUUAACACAAAUUUUUUUACAAAAAUAUCCUAAUCAACAUUCAAAUAUGUACAACUACCAUUAAAAAUCAUGAACACCAAAAUUCCAUUACUAACCAAUCCCUAAAACUUUAACAUUUUUAUAAUUCCAUCCUCGGGUUUAAUAGUUUAAGUUACAACGAGUUCAAAAACGUAAAAAUUAUUAAAAACAGGUAAGAGAAACACUUACAUGCACCAAUUUGCUAACCGAAACUUCAAGCUCCAAAAAUGGAGUUUUUUUUUUCUUUUUCGGUGGGAGAGAGUUGAGAAGAUGAUGAUACCAUUUUUUUCUUUUGUUUCUUUUCUUUAAUCAAACUAAUUACUAAAUUAUCCUUUUAAUCUAAACUAAAUUAUUAACAUAGCAUGUCCGUAAUUAUCCAUUAACUAACCAUAAGGUUUAUCUAUCAACCAAGUCCAUUACUUUAGUUUUUCUUUAAAAAUCAAGCACAUUUAACAAAUAGAAGCCACUUUAGCAUCUUUUACAAUUUAGACCUUUUUACUAAAUUAACUAAACAGACAUUAAAAUUUCUUAGCCAAAUUUUAUUAUGACUCCAAUAUAACUCUAUAAGCAUAAAAUAAACAUAAAAUACUAACUCAUUUGUCGAAAUUGUGGUCCUGAAACCACCUUUUUUGAUACCACUGAAAAAUGAGAUAUUACAUUAAAUCUCUAAUUUAUGAUAAUGAAUGUGAGAGAAUAAUUUUCUUUGUUUAGAAAUACUAAUCAUUUUCUUUGUUUAGUAAUACUACAACUAGAAUGUGUUUCGACCCUAUUAUUAGAAACUAAUAAUGGAAACCCAACUUUUAAUUAGAAACCUCUAAUUUUAAAGUUUAAUAGGUAACACCCCGAAUUUUGGCCCUAGAAGAAAUAUGUUUUGAACAAGGGAACAGUUAGGAGACUGCACAUAAAUAUUUAGUUGUGCAAGGAAGUGACAUAAAUGAAUGUCUACUUCAGUGGUUGAGUGAUUUAGGAGUGUUUGGAACUGUCUGAGAAGUCAGGGAUUCAAGCAUUGCUUAUGCAAAAUUUUUAUUUUAAGUGAAUAAAAUCAUUGGAUCUAGAUAGUAAGUUCUUAAAUUAUUGUGGUUAAAAUAUGAUGCAAAAGAGUUGUUGGUCUAGUGGUAAGGGGUGUGUGGAGUGCACAUAGGGCCUAAGGUUCGAGUGGUGGCGCAUCAGAAAGGAAAUAUUUAUUUUGCUACUUGAGCUGUUUAGGUAGUGGAGUUGGACUGAAACACAACUAAGGGGAGUUUGCAUAGAAUUUGAAUGGAGUUGUUGGGGGAGUUGAGGAGAAACCGGUAGAAUAAUUUAAGGAGGGAUAAGGGGAGAGAUUUUAGGAGAAAAUCAAGGGAAGUGAGGGGAGUGAAGAAGUGUGCCGAAAGUGGACUUUGAUACUCAGGAAAUUUGGCCAGAAGGGAUACUGCUCAUUUUGGUAUACUUUUCAUUUCGGUUUUGUGUAGUGUUUCUCUCUCUUUUUGCUUUUUGGUGCCGAAUUUUUGCUAAGAUUUCGAGUACCACUCGGGUUUUUCUUUUGCUGCUUUUUUCUUUUAUCAUUUCUUUUGUUUUGGCCGAAUUUCUUUUUAGUUCCCUCCUUUGUCGAAUUCUUUUCUCUCUUCUCUUUGUUGCUUCUUUUCAUUUCUCUAUUUUUCCAAACCUUGACCGAACAGUGUUGAAGUAGUUCUGUGUUCCAUCUUUUGUCUAAAAUGCUCUUCUUCCUCUACUCCUUUUGAUCAACUAUUUGUCGAAUAUUGCCUUCUCUCCCCUUUUAUCUCUUUAAAUUUAUUUUCGGCUUGACAACAAUUCUCUAACAGUUCAAAUUUCUUGAGGAGUGAAAAAGUAUCGCAUAAUAUUAAAGUCAUCGAAACCUUUCUCUCAUCACUCGAUCAAAGGUAAGUAUGUAGGCUAGCAUUCUAAAGUGUAGGCUGAGUGCUUUCUAUGGUUUCAUAAGUUAUUAUGUUUGGAUUUAAACCACAUGAAUAAACAAUCCUAUUUAAUAAAAUCCGUUUGUAAUGCAGAUAUCCAUCAAAGAGAUUGUAGUCAACCUUCGUCAGUGAUAUAAGUAGGCUAAGUCACAUUUGACAAUCGAGGCUUUGGUGCUCGUGGAUCUUAGAGUGUUUUCACAAUCAGGUGUGUAAACACCCCACUGUAACCGUAGAACGACAAAAAGCUAAAAGGCCAAAAAUACGGUGUUUGAGACCACACAGGCGUGCGAUCUCUCAUGUGGUAAGCCCAACCCACAAAUCAUGGCCGAUAGACUGUAGAGGCCUCCAUGAACAUUUCCAUGGGCUUAGGCCGUAAUGGGCCACGUUGGGCCGAAAUGGGUCGUGUGGGUUCAAUAGGCUCGUGGGCACCAUACAGAUGAGAACCACGAUUUGUGAAAAAUACUGGACUGGGCUAUGAAGAUCUCAUAGCCGUGGAAAAAUCUGGGCUGAACAGGCCGCACAAGCGUGCGGGCCUACUUGGGCCGAGUAAUGGGCCUUAGGCCCAUUUGUACCAUUAUGACCAUUUAGGUUACCUGAGUCGCUCGAGGUAACUACGGACCUUUCGAGAGGUCGAUAUCUGCACCAAGACCCAAAAUAGGUAAAAUGAUCGAAAUACCCCUAUAGAGUAAAAUGACCGAAAUACCCCCAAAGGAUAAAAUGAUUGAAAUACCCCUAUAAGGUAAAACGAUCGAAAUACCCCCGUAGGAUAAAAUAACUAUUAUACCCCUAGAAGAUGAAAUGACUGUUAUGGCCUUAUGCUAUGUAUGACUGUUUUGCUCUAUGAUAUGUAUGACUAUGGUUGAGCAUGACAUUUUUCAUACACGUAUGAUAUUAUGUCAUGAUAUAUUGCAUGGGGAUGGAUUGUUAUAUUUGGAGGAAGUGUACUGUACUGACAAGGUUGCACGGGUCGCCCAAGACGACUGUGGACCUACUGAUGGCUAUAUGCCAUUUAUUUUACUGGCAGCUUUGCUGCAAUACUGUUUAAUGCUGCAACUGGUGCUAAUCUUGGUGUGUUUGGAUGGAUGGGUAGAUUUUAUCCCCCAUAUGGUGUGUUUGGCGGAACUGUAACACCCUUAACCUGAAUCCAUUCUGACAUUGUCUCACAAAAUUUAUUAUAUCUCAUAGUUUACAAUUUUAUUACUUACACCAUUUCUUCCAUGAGAAACUAGACUCAAUAAGUUUUAAUUCUAUAUUUUAUUCAUACUCUAAUUCGAUUUUCAUAAUUUAUGGUGAUUUUUCAAAGUGAGCCUACUGUUGUUGUCCAAAACUAUUUUAGUACAAGAUGUUUAUUACCAUGUUUAUAACACCCUUAUUUUCUUUCUCUACACUAUUUCUCAUCCCUUUCUCUUAUUUUCUCUUCACUUACAUAUUAAGAACAUAGGACCAUAUAUACAAAAAAACUUUACACUAACAUCAUUUCCAUACUUUUUCAAUAAUAUCAAACUUAAAAAUAUACUAAAAUCUUGAUGUACUUACCUUGUCAUAUUGAUUUUAAUCUUUAACUUGAUUUUCUCUCUCCUCCAGCUUCUAUUUCUUGAAUCUAACUUGAUAUUAUAGCUCCCCAUAGUCUCCUUGUAAUCUUUCUCUCUUGAUGGAUAUGGAAAUUCUUUUGAUUUCUAGAUGAAAAUAGUGAAUUUUUGGUGAAAGGACUAAAUUGUAAAGAAAGCAAAACUUUCUUUCUUCUCUUCUCCUCUUAACGUGAAUUGCAUGGAAAAGAUGGUGGGUUGGUUCCUUUUCAUCUUUCUUUCCACAUAUAUAUACUAAAUAAUAAAAUAAUAAAAUAUCAUUUAAAAAUCAAAUUAAAAUACUAAUAAACUAAUAUUUAUUUGUUUAUUUAAUCUAAAAUAUCUCCAACAUCAUCAUUAUCUUCUAGAUUUCUCUCUCUUCUAAUUGACCAUUUUGCCCUUCAUGAUAUUUUAAAAUUCCAUCCUUGAGUCAUCACUUAAUUUCGUAAAAUUUCAAUUUAGUCCCUCAAAAUUCCUCACCUUUUUUCAAUUUAGUCCUAAUACAUCCAUUUUCCUUAGUUUCUAGAUCAUUCCACCCUUAAAAUAUUUACACCAUUGGUCCUUCAAUUUUUUCAUAUUUACACUUUAACCCCUCAAUUUUUGAGUAUUUACUCUUGGGCAACAAAAUUUUUACGAUUUAAUCCUUUCUUGAGGUAAUAUGUCAUAAUAUACUUCCCAAUGUUGACAUAACUCCAAAAUUCCCUUUUUUGUCGCUUUAUUUCCUUAUUUUUUUAUAUCAAAGAUAAUAUCUUACUGUAAAAAUUUUUUUGGGGGGUAUUACAUUUCUCUCCCCCUCAAAAUAAAUUUCGUCCUCGAAAUUUCCUUAUUUUCUUUUGAUCAUGAACUUAUUUUUUCUUUAAUUCUAUAGUUCAUUUUUUUUGCAUAUAUUUACUUAGCUUAUCAUUUGUGUCUAUUCUUUAUUCUUUCAUUUCACAAUUUAUUUUUAAUUUAAUAUUUCAAACAUGAAUCAGAGAUAAACUUUUACCUUGUAACUAAAAUUAUUUACCUUUUUACCUGAGGCCCAGUGGACUAAAUAGAACACGUAGGAUAUAUGAAAUUGAUACAGAAGUGCUCUGUUAUACAUCAUUAAACAGAGAGCACUAAAGUGUUAUACGGGAGCAUAAAUGUGCUAAUAAUUGGAGAGCACUAGCGUGCUAUUAAUCAGAGAGUGCGCUAAGGUUCCUUAAUGAUAUACUACUAAUAUCCUAAUAGUUCUAAUCUCAUCUACUUGGGCAAAUUAUAUCAUGCAUGCAUACGACUUUUACACUUUGCGCAUAAUGCUUUUACAUACUUUACAAUUUAAACCUUGUACCAAUGAUUCGUAUAUUUAUACCUUCUCUACCUUUAAUACAUGUAAUAUAUUUCAAAAUUCACUAAUAAUCCAUAUAUAUCAUGUACUUCAUAUAUCAUUUUUACAUAUUAUGCAAUUUAGUCAUCAGCGCAAUAUUUCUUGUAGCAAUAUGUUUUUCUUUUAAUGACACAUAUAACAUUCAUCAUCGACAUGUAUUAUAAAACAUUUAUUCAUACUUUCAUGAGUUCCAAUUCAUCCUAAUCAAUUUUUUUUACUCAUAUACUUGAGUAUCACUUUCAACAUUAUCAGAAUUAGCUCGGUUAGGAAAACAUCUCUGUUUAUAAGUAAAACAAUUCUCAUCAGACUCGAGAGAUAUCACACUAUCACAGGUUACAUAAUGGCAUGCAUUUCUAGACUUCACAUAAGCUACGUUUGGUCCAAGAACCGACUAAAUCGUAGCUCUGAUACCAAUAAAUGUAACACUCUUAACCCGAAUCCAUUCUGACAUUGUCUCACAAAAUUUAUUAUAUCUCAUAGUUUACAAUUCUAUUACUUACACCAUUUCUUCCAUGAGAAACUAGACUCAAUAAGCUUUAAUUCUAUAUUUUAUUCAUACUCUAAUUCGAUUUUCAUAAUUUAUGGUGAUUUUUCAAAGUGAGCCUACUGUUGCUGUCCAAAACUAUUUUAGUACAAGAUGUUUAUUACCAUGUUUAUAACACCCUUAUUUUCUUUCGCUACACUAUUUCUCAUCCCUUUCUCUUAUUUUCUGUUCACUAACGUAUUAAGAACAUAGGACCAUAUAUACAAAAACUUUACAUUAACAUCAUUUCCAUACUUUUUCAAUAAUAUCAAACUUAAAAAUAUACUAAAAUCUUGAUGUACUUACCUUGUCAUAUUGAUUUCAAUCUUUAACUUGAUUUUCUCUCUCCUCCAGCUUCUAUUUCUUGAAUCUAACUUGAUAUUAUAGCUCCCCAUAGUCUCCUUGUAAUCUUUCUCUCUUGAUGGAUAUGGAAAUUCUUUUGAUUUCUAGAUGAAAAUAGUGAAUUUUUGGUGGAAGGACUAAAUUGUAAAGAAAGCAAAACUUUCUUUCUUUUCUCCUCUUAACGUGAAUUGCAUGGAAAAGAUGGUAGGUUGGUUCCUUUUCAUCUUUCUUUCCACAUAUAUAUACUAAAUAAUAAAAUAAUAAAAUAUCAUUUAAAAAUCAAAUUAAAAUACUAAUAAACUAAUAUUUAUUUAUUUAUUUAAUCUAAAAUAUCUCCAACAUCAUCAUUAUCUUCUAGAUUUCUCUCUCUUCUAAUUGACCAUUUUGCCCUUCAUGAUAUUUUAAAAUUCCAUCCUUGAGUCAUCACUUAAUUUCGUAAAAUUGCAAUUUAGUCCCUCAAAAUUCUUCACCUUUUUUCAAUUUAGUCCUAAUACAUCCAUUUUCCUUAGUUUCUAUAUCAUCCCACCCUUAAAGUAUUUACACCAUUGGUCCUUCAACUUUUUCAUAUUUACACUUUAACCCCUCAAUUUUUGAGUAUUUACUCUUGGGCAACAAAAUUUUUACGAUUUAAUCAUUUCUUGAGGUAAUAUGUCAUAAUAUACUUCCCAAUGUUGACAUAACUCCAAAAUUUCCCUUUUUGUCGCUUUAUUUCCUUAUUUUUUUAUAUCAAAGAUAAUAUCUUAGUGUAAAAAAAAAUUUUUUGGGUAUUACAGGAACAGAGUGGUGUGUAGAGGCUGGAUUGGGUAGGAUUUCUAACUGCAUAUCUACACUAAUUAAUGAUUUUGUAUUGUUACUACAUCGAUUAAUGAUAUUACAUACUGUUUACUGCAUGACUGAUAUUUGUUGCUGUUAUGGGCCAAGGCCCCACUGAUACUAUUACUGAAAUUGGGCAAAUGCCCUAUUGAUUAUUGGUAUUGUGAUGGGCUCAAGCCCAAUCGUUUAAUGUUACGGGAAAGGGCUUAGGCCCACACUGAACUGGACUGUUACUAUAACAGGCUCAGGCCCAAACUGUAUUUAUCUAUUGUUUAAUUGACUACUUACUUGUUAGGGGAUUGCACACUGAGUUUUCGUAAACUCAACCCGUUGUUUAACUGUACAGGUAAUCCCUAGUUGUAGUAGGGUCAGUGCUGCGAGGGACUCGAUGAUGGCCACACAACUGCAUCAGCUUUUGUUUUUAGCCUUUGAUUUAUAAGAAACUGAAUUUGGGUAUUUUUAUGUAAAAAGGCCUCUUUAAAGUUAUAAACUUUAAAUUGGGGUUUUUAUUUAUUUAGUUUGAUAUAAACUACUAGUUGUAGAAAAAGACGGGUUUUCAAAAGGUAAAUGUUUUCAAAGUUUCAAAAGGUAAAUGUUUUCAAAGACACCACGUUUUCGCAACAUUUCUAAAAAAAAACUUCCGCAAUGAAUGAGAUUUUGGAAAAUUUAUAACGUUUUAAAAGUGAUUAGCUUUUAAUGAUGCAUGCUUGGAAAUGAACAACCCGUUUUGGAAUCAUAGUUUAACAGCAAAAUGAUUAAUUGAUUUUAAAGAUUUCAACGACAACAAGUUUUACGCUAAACACCUUAAAGUGACACCGCCAGAUUCAACCAUAACUCCUAGGCCGGGUUUGGGGUGUUACAAUGUGUUUCAACCCUAUUAUUAGAAACUGAUACCCUAUUAUUAGAAACUGAUAAUGGAAACACAACUUUUAAUUAGAAACCUCUAAUUUUAAAAUUCAAUAGGUAAAAGCAAGUUAUCGUUAAGUGCCUGUGAUACGCUAGUAAAACUCAUUCUAGAAAAAAAAGUUUAAUGGAAACAAUUGUUAUCCAUUGCGUAUAGAGGAUGAAUUUGAAUACUAUUAAUUAAGUUCAUUGUUUAUUGUUUAAAUGUCUAAAGUAAGGGAGACAUUAAAAGAACUCUACCUUUAUAAACAUAAGAAGUGGUGCCACUUCAACAAGUAAAGGUAGGGUCUCUCUUGUAAAUGUUUAUUAUGAACAAGAUAAGCACAUGAUCAUUUUAGUGCUAAAAGUGAACAACCUCUGAUAGAAAUAUAAACGAAUAUUAUGUAUAGUGUAUUUCAACUUCUAAUACUAGGAGUUGUGGUUCAAUCUUCGGACACCGACAACUUAUUAAAACUUUGAAAAGCAUCCGCUUAUUGAUGGUUCAUAUUGAGAGGUAUCAUCUUUAAUGCAUAAUAUUUGUUUGAGUGAAUGACCAUAAAGUAUGGUACCAACAUUUAAACUAAGGGUGAUUGUUAGUAGUUUAUAAUUUUGGCAGUAAAAAUAUUUUAUUAUGUAGAAAAGUCUAAUAAAUUAUAAUUAUUGGUCAAAUAGUUGUGUUGUAAAGACAAUUUUUGUAUGUAAAGUUGUCUUAUAAACUUUAUGUAAAGUUGUGUUGUAAAACAACAAAAUUAUAUGAAAAUGUAUCUUAUUAAAAGAUACAUCCAUAUGAAAGGGUAUCUCAUGAAAAGAUACACCUAUUAGAUGUCUAUAUAAAAGAUUUUUCUGUUAGUUAUUUAAAUUGUUUUGCUUGGAGUGUUGAGGGCUUUGUUGUAUCUUGAAGGUAUUUUAAAAUCUUAAAGAAAGUGCUCUACACACCUUAAAGUCAUUAUAUUUUAUAACAUUAUUUUAUUUUUCUAACUUUUAUUUUCCUAUUAUUUAUUUUUCUAACAGCUAGAAUAUAGGAAAAUUAUUAUGUUUCUAGCUAUAUAUUGAAUACAAGUAUGUUGGUGUUUAGAACUCGAACUUUGAUGGUUGAUCGAGAGAUUUGAAGCAGAAAGAAGAGACGGGAAGUUUUAAGUAGAAAAAUAAUUGAAGACUGGAAUAUAUAAUUGAUUUGCACCUCAACUAUUUAAAUACAAAAGUUCAAGCUAAAAAUAGAAAAAAAAAGUUCUAAAAAUCUGCUAAAAAUCUGGUAACAAAAUAGCAAACAAAUCAAAAAUCUAAUCUCCUAAAGUCAAGGAGAAUUAUUCAAACUUAGUAACAGAAAAAAUUUAAAUGGCAGCAAUCUUAAACACAUGAUCUUAACACUCCUCCUUGUUUAGAUGCUACAAACUCCAAGUUUCUUCCUGAAGCUUUCAAACUUGCUAAGUGGCAAUGGUUUGGUGAAGAUAUCUGCAAUUUGAUCUUCAGAUUUGUAGUAACAAAGAGACACAUCACCACUCUUUUAAACUUCUCGAACAAAAAAUAACUUGAUGUUAAAAUGCUUAGUCUUCCCAUGAAAGACUGGAUUGUUAGAGAUUGCAAUGGCAGCCUGGUUAUCAACUAGAAUCUUUGUGCUUUGCUUCUACUCCAUGUUUAGAUCAACAAGAAUCUUCCUUAACCAGAGAGCUUGGUUAACUGUUGCUGUUGCAGCCAUAAAUUCUGCCUCAACAGUGGAUUGAGCUACAGUUUCUUGCUUCUUCGAGCUCCAAGAGAACAUGCCUGAUCCAAGGCAAAAACAAUAACCAGAGGUACUCUUCAUAUCAUCAGUUAAGCCACCCCAAUCACUGUUAGAGAAACCAAUCAACUUCAAUUCCCUAUGCUUUAAAAACUUUACUCCAUAAUUCCAGGUCCCCUUGAUGUAUCUGAUAACUCUUUUUGCAGCUCUCAUGUGAGUCUCAUUGGGACAAUGCAUGAAUCUGGAGAGAAUACUUACAGCAUUCAAGAUGUCGAGUCUGGUUGUUGUUAAGUACAUUAGACAACCUACCAAACUCCUGAACUCAGCUUCAAUGACUUUGGCAGAACCAUCAUCUUUGAUUAGCUUCUCUUUUUGAUUCAUAGGAGUACUCAUUGCUUUGCAAUCUUCCAUAUGGAAUUUUCUAAGUAUCUCCUUUGCAUACUUUCUUUGACAGAUGAACACUUCAUCUUGGCUUUAUUUGAUCUCAAUGCCAAGGAAAUAAGACAUCAGAUCAAGGUCUGUCAUUUCGAAGACAUUAUGCAUUUCCAAUUUAAACUGAUUAACUUGAUCGAUAUUGCUCCUUGUAAUCAAUAAGUACAAAUAAGCAAGCUUUUUCCUUUGAUUUCCUUAUCUUCUUUUCUUUUUGUGCUUUAAUCUGUGCCACAGUAGGAUUUGCUGGAAGAGGUGGGACCUCGUAAUCCUCUUCUACAGGUUCCCAAAGAUCCAAAGCCUCUAUGUAAGUCUCCAUGCGAACUGCCUACAUCUGGUAAUUGUCUCCAUCGAAGACUGGUGGUGCAGCAACUGAAAAACUGGACCCUCCUUCCAUAUUAACACGCAAAUAACCUAACAAAUCCCUCAAGAAAAUAGCUCUGAUACCAAUUUGUUGGUGUUUAGAACUCGAACUUUGAUGGUUGAUCGAGAGAUUUGAAGCAGAAAGAAGAGACGGGAAGUUUUAAGUAGAAAAAUAAUUGAAGACUGGAAUAUAUAAUUGAUUUGCACCUCAACUAUUUAAAUACAAAAGUUCAAGCUAAAAAUAGAAAAAAAAUGUUUUAAAAAUCUGCUAAAAAUCUGGUAACAAAAUAGCAAACAAAUAAAAAAUCUAAUCUCCUAAAAUCAAGAAGAAUUAUUCAAACUUAGUAACAGAAAAAAUUUAAAUGGCAGCAAUCUUAAACCCAUGAUCUUAACAAAGUACUACUUGGAAGCCAACACCCACAAACAUGAUAAAAGUUAAUUUUGAUGAGAGUUUUGACAUGGAAGCAAGAAAUGAGGAAGAGGGUAGUUAUGCAGCAUUGUGAUGAUUUUUUAGUCUGACUAUGCAACCAUCCAAUUUAGGGUGCAUUCUCCAUUGUGGUGAAAAAGCACUUAAAGAACAUUUGGUUUUUGCACUUAAAAUGUGAUGGAAAAAUGUUUUUCCACCCAAAUACAAAAACUAGGAUAUAAAUGUUUUUGACUUUUAGCUUUUAUGUUUGGAAGUGAAAAUUAUCAAAAUAUCAUUAUUUAUAUUAACUAUUUAAAUGGUAUAUAAAAAUUAGAUUAAUUUAUAUUUUAUAUAUCAUUAUAUUAAAUUAUUUAAAUAUUAUUUAUUAUUAUAUAUUUUAAUAAUUUAUAUAUCAUCUAUUUUACAAAUAAUUUAUAUUAAUUACUUAAAAAAUAUUUGGAACUUAUAUUUCAUGUAUCAUUAUAUUAAAUUAUUUAAAUAUCACAUAAUUUAACUAAUUUUUUACUUUCCACUAUCAUGUCUAAAGAAAAGGAUAUUUUAACUUUUAACAAGAAUUUUUUGUAGCAAUGGAGAACACCAAAAAUUAAUAAACACACUUUUUCAUAGUAAUUUUCAACCACACUUUUCAACCGCAACCCUAAUGAAGAAUUAAUCCUUACUAAAGUUACCGAAGCACUAGCUUCCACCGUAGCCAUUGAAAUGGCGCUCCAAUUGGGAUUGCAACACAUUAUUAUUAAAGGAGAUGCUCUCCAAGUGGUUUCGGAGUUGAAGGAAGACAAAGGAGACCUACCAACAACCGGACCUUGAUAGCAAAGAGUUGAAUACUUGCUAAACAGGUUCAGCAAUGUAGGUUUCAACACAGGAAGAGGCAUGCUAAUGAGGUGGCACAUCAUCUGACCAAACAGGGCCUUAAUUGUUUUCCAUCUUUUGUUCAUAUGUUUGUUUUGAAAAGGUAAAACAAAUCCUCACCUAUUGAUGUUAGAACGGUUGAAUUGCUAAAAGCAUGCUGCAUGCAUAACCAUGCUUUAGGUUAGGCUUCAAAUUAAAUAAAUUUUAAAUUAUUUUUAUUUAAAUUUAAUUAUAAAAAUAAAUUAAUAUCAAUAGAAAAUUAUAUAAAAUUUUAAGAUAUUUUAUUUUUCAAUAAUAAAACGAAUCAUUCACCAAACCUAAUUCUUCAAUUUCUUUUUAAUUAGAUCACAACUCAAGCCAAGCUAACCAAUAAACACCCAAAAUCUACCAUCAUUUUCAUUUUCAUUUUUUUUUCUUUUGUGACAAAGUAGACAGAAGAUUCGGUUUGGAUAAGCUCUACGUUAUUAAGUCAAAAGCUGAAGUAAUUUUAAUCAUAAAUUGUUUUAUUUGUCUAUAAUGCAAAACAAUGACCCAGUUAGUACAAUAAAGCUUUAACUUUGUGGAACAUUUCAGUCCAAAAAAAAAAAAAAAAAGAAUUGUGGAAAUUUUAGAGCAGUUGACCAUUUCUUCGGAAUUAGUUUUCUCACUUCUUGUCCAUAUUCCAUGUAUAUUAUUUCAAGAAAUUAGGUUUAGAAAUUUGCAUAAUUCAACCAUUGAACUAAUAAAUAUUAAACAAAAAUUGGGUGGCAAAAAAAAUCUUAUUAAAAUCAUAUACUAUUACUAAAAUUUAUGAUUAAAUUAGUGUCACGAGUUAACGGGACAUUAACAAAUUAUAUUAUUUGAGGGUAUUUUAAUCUUUUUAUUAAAAAAGAUGAUGUCUCAAAUUAACUCACAAUCUAAUCUAAUUUUUCAUUUUAAUAUUGUAAAUAUUUCAUGUUUUAUUAUUAAUUUGUUUCAAAUUAUACAUUUCAUUAUUUAUUUUAUGUUAUUUUUAAACACAUCUGUAUUCUAAGUACCUAAUUUUCACUUAUGGGUAUCAGAGGCGAAUCUAGGGAGGCUGAUAGGGGUCUCGGUCCCCUUAAAAUAGAAAAUUAUUAUUUAAGCCAUUUAGAAAAUUUUAAAAUUUUAAAUUAGUAAAUGUAAAAUUACACUUUGACCCCUCUAAAAUUAUAAAAAUUUGAUUUAAUCCUUUAAAAAUUAUAAAGAUAUAAACUAUUAAAAAUAAAAAUUUCAUUUCGGCCCUGCCUAAAAAAUUUUUUUGACUUCACCCCUAAAGUAUGAUAGAGUUUCUAGUAUGAAUAAUUUUCUUUGGAAGUGUUAAACAAACAAAGGAGUUAAGUAAACAGUAGUUUUCAUACAGAAAUAUUCGGCGUUGAUGUUUCCCUUUCGAAUAAUUAAAUUAAGACUUAGGAAAAGGGAAAACAAUGAAAAAGAAACUAAAAUUGAGCUUAAUUUAUGGAGUUGGGUUAAAAUUUUAAUAUUUAAAUAUAAAAAUUCUAAUAAUUUGAUCUGGUCCGUUUCAUCUAGCAGACUAAUAAUAAAUCUUAAAACAUAUUAUAUUUUAAUUUAAAUAAAACCAAAACUAAUACACUUGACCUACAUCUACAUGUGAUCUAUGCUUCAUUUAAAUUAGUCUAAAUUAGACGAGAUCUUGAUUAGGAGUCAUUUAUUUAUAUUAUAAGUCCCUGAAACAUGCAAAACUUACAUUUAAAAAUUAAUAUUUUUACGUUGUUGUUAGAAUAUAGGGUUUGUUAAUGUUUUCGUGUGAAGUCAGCUGUUGACAUUACCAAUCAGAUAAUGAAAAGGAAACAUGGCAAUUAUUCCAUCCUAAUUGUCACCAAAUUAAGUUAAUCCAAAAAUUACCAAACGUUUAGUACUUCAAUGGUAGAGUCAGCUCUUUCUUCUAGUCUAUCAAAAAAAGUCAAUUUAACCCCUAACUCUUGGAUGGAAAAGUUUUUGCUAUGAACUUGUUGAAGUGAAUCUCAUGUGAUAUAAACGCAUCGCAAUCUCCGUGUGUAACUAAAAAUAUUUGAGAGAUUGAAUAAUUUAAAGGGGAAAAAAAAAGAAUUUACUCCCUCCACUAACAAAUUACUCUUGCCAACGUAUGUAUGAAAGUAAACACCUUUAAUUAAUCAACAAAUGCUAAAGUUCGAGGUUUAGAAUUAAUUAAAUACCAAUAUAAAUAGUUAAUUACUUUUUUGAAAUAAGGAUAAAUCAGUUUGUGAGGUUUGAAUUUUUUGUAUCUUAACAAUUGUUCUGACUUUAGAGUUUGAAGGUUUUUUUUUUAUCCAAAUUAACCUAUGAACUUAGUAAUUUGUCUCUCAUUAAGGUUUAAAUUUUUUAUUUAUCUAAGUUAAUUCUUAAAAAUCUUGAAAUUCGAGAAUAAUUGUCAAGUUAAAAAAAUUUAGAUUUCAAUAUGAGAAUAAUCUACUAGUUCGUAACCUUAAUAUAAAAACAAUUGUUAAGUUGAAAACUUAAUUUAAAAACAAAUUCAAACCCUUCUUAAGUUUACGAUUUAACCCUUUGAAAUAUUGCGUUAACUAGUAAGAGUAAGAAUUAUUUUGUGUUGAUGAUUAAAUAAAUAUUUAAGUGGAGAUCAAGUUUUACCUCAUUUGUCAAUUGUCAGGUGAAGAAUAUAUACCCCUAAAGGCCUAUCAAAAACGGACCUAUCUCUAUCUAUAUAUCUUAACUAAUUUACUAUUCAUUUUUAAUGAAAAUCAAUAAAUCAAUGAAAACGUUAUAAAAAGAAAACUACGUGAAUAAAUUAUAUGUGUAAAAUUGAAAUAUUUCUUAUUUUAGUACAAUGGUAAGGAACAUUACAUUUUUAAGGAAAUGAUGUCAGGUUCAAACCUUAAAGAUAAUAUUCUUCUUCUUGAGAAGAACAAUCCCAAACUCCAAAAUGAACCCUUAUGAAUUAUAUAAAAAAAUUUUGAAAUAUUUCUAUAAAAUAUCAUUAAAGUUUUUUAUUUAAAAAAUGUUAUGGGUAUACUUUUACCUCUUGUAAAAAAGUCUUUCAUUUCUCAAUUCUUAUGGCAUAGUAAAUUUAUCAUUAAUUUUCAUCUUUAGGUAAAAAAAAUGGUUAUUAUUUGUGUAUUAAAUAAUUGUUAGGAUAAAUUUUAAAAUUGUAUAUGAAUUUUGGUUUAAUGUUAAUUAUAUACAUUAAUUUUAAUUUUAUGUAAUUUUAUAAAUGAAAUUUUAAUUUGAUCCAAUUCUAACAAAUUAUUAACACAGUUAUUGAUAUAACAUCAUUUUAUGUUUAUAUGCUAUAUACAGAAAUAAUUAUGUUUAUUCAAUAUAAAAAUAAAUUGAUGUAUUUAUUUCUUUAAACAUAUAUGAUUGAAUCAAAAUUAAAACAUCGUGUAUAUAUUUGAACCACAAUUAAAAUUUUACAUAUAAAAUUACAUAAAAUUACAAUUUAUAUACGUAAUAAACUAAAAUUCAUAUAUAAUUUUAAGAUUUAUGUCCACAAUUCUCUAAAGCUAAACGGUGAUGAUUACCAUGGAAAUUCAAUGUACUUAACUAAUUGGUUGAUAGGAACAGGCAUGAUGAAAUCCAUGAUGGGAAGAGAGAGAAUUCAAAAACUGGAAUGCCCCCAUUAAUCCAUGCAAAUAAACUUUUUCGGUAUUACAUCAUAAUUCAUUUAAUUUUAUCAUCAUCUCUAUGCCAUAACCAUGUUUAAAGUAAAAUACUUAUAUAAAUUGAGACAUUAAUAGUUUGUAUUAUAUAAAUUAUGACAUCCAUAUAUCCAUAUUAUAAUUUUUAUGAAAAAUUAGAGCUGGCAGAUAAAAAAUGGCUUACUGAUCAAUGAAAAAUAAACUUUAUUUCUUGUAAAUUGACUUAUCCUUUUAAAAAGUAUAAAUAUUUUUUUAAAAUUCAUUUAUGAGUAAUUUUAUUAUUAUAAAAAUUAAUUUUGCAAAGUCUAAUAUUAUUAUAUUAAUAAUUUUAUUUUAAAACUAUUUAAAAAUACUAAUAUCAAAUAUUAUAAUGUUGAAUCCUAGUAACAUACAUAUUAAAUUAUUUAAAUUAUGUAAUAUUGCAAUUUUAUUUUAAUACUAAAUUUUAACAACAAUAAUUUUAAAUUUUAGAUCAUAUUUUUAAUAUAUUAUUGAAAAAUAUUUAUAUUAAUAUUUUAAUAAUAAAUAUAUAUAUUAAAAUUUAUAAAUAUUUAAUAAUAAAUGUUUUAUAGUAUAAAAUAUGAAUAUUUUAAUUAUAUAGAUAUGAGCAUUUGUUUAAAUCAUGUUUAGUUUCAUUUAUCUCCCAACUAUAAUGUGUUAUUAUACACCGUCAUAUAUAUAAUAUAUGUAAUUUAAGCAUUGUUUAUUAUUAAAUUUAUAUAUGAUAUUAAUUAUUAUAAAAUAUUAUCUUAUUAUAAAAGAAAUUCUAAUUAUCAAAAAGAAAUGUUACUUUAAUAUUUUGUAACAAGUAUAUUUAUGUUGGGCUUGUUUCAAUAAUAACUUUAAAAUGAUUUUAGAAAAAAAAUUGUCAAAUAAUAAAAAAAUAUUUUAAGCAAAAUAAUUCAAACACAAAAAACUAUCAACUUUUCCAUAAAAUCAAUCCAAUUUUAAGAAAACAUUUUGUGAAAAUUGUUUUAGGUAAAACAAAAGGAACCUAUAUUUUAUAUAGUAUUUGAAAAGUUGUUGUAUCUAGAAUUAUUAUCUUAAAUAUUUUUUUAGGUCUAAUUUUAAAUUUCAUCCCUUUAUGAAAAUUGAGAAGUUAAAUUUUCUAUUUUACUUUAUCAGUCUGUGCUUGAUUGUUUAUUAAUUUGUCGUGUAUAAAUGGUUAAAUUAUUGAUUUUUGUUAAUUACUAGCAUGUAAAUUGUCAAACUACUUGUUCUCAAGGGAACGGUAAAGUUUAAUAGUAUUAUCAAUUUAGAACAAUUUUUGAGUUUUUUCUUUUAUUUUUCAUGUUCGAGUCCAUAAUUACUCCUUCUAAUAAUGUCGUCUUUAAAGUUUGAGUUCGAAUUCAAAUUCUCUUUUUGGAAGUACAAUAUGCCUUAUAAUUAUACCUAAUACUUUUGAUUUUUGUAAAAUAUAAGAAUCAAAAUUGUGUAGUAGGAUUAAUUUCUAGAUUUUUUAAAUUUAAAAUUUAUAAUAUUAUCAAUCGCAUCACACACAAAACCAAAGAACAAGAGAAUCUAAAAAACACGUGGACCAUUAAUUUAGGAAUGGACAUUAUAUUUUAUUAGUGGAAUAAACUCAUGCAAAAUGGUUGGAAAACACAUACAGGAUUAUAUAUACUAAUCAUUUUUAUUAUUAAGCAGAAUCGGAAAUAAAUAAAUACGAGCGAAACCACUGAAUAAUACAGCAUUGAAAUGCAAUUUGUCUACAUCAUUAUUGUUCUUCACUUCAAACGCGGAGACUAGUCUAGGCUCCCAAUCUUUUGCUUUAUCUCUCUAGAUAUAUCCUUUUCAAACUAUCUUUUUGUAGCUUUAUUUGCAUCACAGCAUUAUCUUUUCCUGCAAACAACUGUUCAAUGAUUAAAACAUGCAAAACAUUCUGAAAUAAUGCACCCUUACCAGAUGACAAAAAAAAAAAAAGAUUCUAAUGUAUCUUACCUUGGAUUGGAGCACGGUCAAAGCCGUGGCUUAGUAGUGGUGAGGAGGAGGGGGUGAAGCGUAGACAUAAUGGGGUGGUGGUGGUGGAGGAGACUUGUAUUUGUAAACUGGAGGAGGAGGUGGUGGAGACUUGUACUUGUAAGGGUGCUUGGGGGGUGAUGGUGGGGGUGGUGGGGGUGACUUGUACUUGUAGGGGUGCUUGGGUGGUGACGGUGGGGGUGGGGACUUGUACUUGUAAGGAUGCUUGGGGGGUGAUGGUGGUGGUGGUGGAGGUGACUUGUACUUGUAGGGGUGCUUGGGUGGUGACGGUGGGGGUGGGGACUUGUACUUGUAAGGGUGCUUGGGUGGUGACGGUGGUGGUGGUGGGGGGGACUUGUACUUGUAGGGAUGCUUUGGUGGGGAUGGUGGUGGUGGUGGUGGGGACUUGUACUUGUAGGGAUGCUUAGGUGGUGAUGGUGGUGGUGGUGGAGACUUGUAUUUGUAAGGAUGCUUUGGUGGUGAUGGUGGUGGAGGUGGUGGGGACUUGUACUUGUAAGGGUGCUUGGGUGGUGAUGGAGGUGGAGGUGGUGGAGACUUAUACUUGUAAACUGGAGGUGGUGGGGGUGGAGACUUGUACUUGUAAGGGUGCUUGGGUGGUGACGGAGGUGGAGGUGGUGGAGACUUAUACUUGUAAACUGGAGGUGGUGGGGGUGGAGACUUGUACUUGUAAGGGUGCUUGGGUGGUGAUGGUGGGGGUGGGGGUGGCGACUUGUACUUGUAGGGGUGUUUAGGUGGUGAUGGUGGUGGUGGUGGUGGUGGUGGGGACUUGUACUUGUAAGGAUGCUUGGGUGGUGAUGGUGGUGGAGGAGACUUGUACUUGUAAGGAUGCUUGGGUGGUGAUGGUGGUGGAGGUGGUGGAGACUUAUACUUGUAAACAGGAGUUGGUGGGGGAGGAGAUUUGUACUUGUAAGGUUUCUUGUGUGGUGGUGGUGGUGGAGGAGAGUAGAUCGGAGGAGGCGGUGGGGGAGACUUGUAAUGGUAGGGUGGUAGUGGGUUCUUCUUAG